This 68133-nucleotide long non-coding RNA is filed under the name Triticum aestivum (bread wheat). RNAcentral describes it as "long non-coding RNA (TAES_LNC019168)". The stretch from base 67196 to 67282 matches the Rfam family "MIR1120/MIR1122 microRNA precursor family". The record is from RNAcentral. Lineage: Eukaryota; Viridiplantae; Streptophyta; Magnoliopsida; Poales; Poaceae.
GUGAUCUUGCUGUAAAAAACGGAAACUUUAGCGCUCACGAGAUUUGCUGCCAUAUUUCACUGGAGAGUGUGAUUAGGAUGAUUCUUUUUGCAUAUGAUUAAUAGACAAAUUCCUCACUUCCAUAAUUUUAUUUCAGAAUUUUUGGGGUUACAGAAGUAUUAGAAACCUACAUGUUACUACAGACUGUUCUGUUUUUGACAGAUUCUGUUUUUCGUGUGUUGUUUGCUUAUUUUGAUGAAUCUAUGGCUAGUAUCGGGGGGUAUGAACCAUAGAGAAGUUGGAAUACAGUAGGUUUAACACCAAUAUAAAUAAAGAAUGAGUUCAUUACAGUACCUUGAAGUGGUGGUUUGUUUUCUUAUACUAACGGAGCUUAUGAGAUUUUCUAGUGAGUUUUGUGUUGUGGAGUUUUCAAGUUUUGGGUAAAGAUUUGAUGGAUUUUGGAAUAAGGAGUGGCAAGAGCCUAAGCUUGGGUAUGCCCAAGGCACCCCAAUGUAAAAUUCAAGGACAACCAAAAGCCUAAGCUUGGGGAUGCCCCAGAAGGCAUCCCCUCUUUCGUCUUCGUCCAUCGGUAACUUUACUUGAUGAUAUAUUUUUAUUCACCACAUGAUAUGUGUUUUGCUUGGAGCGUCUUGUAUGAUUUGAGUCUUUGAUUUUUAGUUUAACACAAUCAUCCUUGAUGUACACACCUUUUGGGAGAGACACACAUGAAUCGGAAUUUAUUAGAAUACUCUAUGUGCUUCACUUAUAUCUUUUGAGCUAGGUAAUUUUGCUCUAUGUGCUUCACUUAUAUUUUUAAGAGCAUGGUGGUGGUUUUAUUUUAUAGAAAUUAUUGAACUCUCAUGAUUCACUUAUAUCAUUUUGAGAGUCCUCCAGAACAGCAAGGUAAUUUGCUUUGGCUAUAAAAUUAGUCCUAAUAUAAUAGGCAUCCAAGAUGGGUAUAAUAAAAACUAUCAUAAAAAGUGCAUUGAAUAUUAUGAGAAGUUUGAUACUUGAUGAUUGUUUUGAGAUAUGAAGAUGGUGAUAUUAGAGUCAUGCUAGUUGAGUAGUUAUUAAUUUGAUAAAUACUUGUUCUAAAGUUUGUGAUUCCCGUAGCAUGCACGUAUGGUGAACUGUUAUGUGAAGAAGUCGGAGCGUGAUUUAUUUAUUGAUUGUCUUCCUUAUGAGUGGCGGUCGGGGACGAGCGAUAGUCUUUUCCUACCAAUCUAUCCCCCUAGGAGCAUGCGCAUAGUACUUUGUUUUGAUAACUAAUAGAUUUUUGCAAUAAGUAUGUGAGUUCUUUAUGACUAAUGUUGAGUCCAUGGAUUAUACGCACUCUCACCCUUCCACCAUUGCUAGCCUCUCUAGUACCGUGCAACUUUCGCCGGUACCAUAAACCCACCAUAUACCUUCCUCAAAACAUCCACCAUACCUACCUCUUAUGGCAUUUCCAUAGACAUUCCGCGAUAUAUUGCCAUGCAACUUAACACCGUUCCAUUUGUUAUGACACGCUUCAUCAUUGUCAUAUUGCUUUGCAUGAUCAUGUAGUUGACAUCGUAUUUGUGGCAAAGCCACCGUUCAUAUUUUUUCAUACAUGUCACUCAUGAGUCAUUGCACAUCCCGGUACACCGCCAGAGGCAUUCACAUAGAGUCAUAUUUUGUUCUAAGUAUCGAGUUGUAAGUAAAUAAAAGUGUGAUGAUCAUCAUUAUUAGAGCAUUGUCCCAAGUGAGGAAAGGAUGAUGGAGACUAUGAUUCCCCCACAAGUCAGGAUGAGACUCCGGAUGAAAAUUAAACAAAAGAGAAAAAAGAGGCCAUCAAAAAGAGAAAAGGCCUAAAUAAGAAAAUAAAAAUAAAAAAAUGAGAGAAAAAGAGAGAAGGGACAAUGUUACUAUCCUUUUACCACACUUGUGCUUCAAAGUAGCACCAUGAUCUUCAUGAUAGAGAGUCUCCUAUGUUGUCACUUUAAUAUACUAGUGGGAAUUUUACAUUAUAGAACUUGGCUUGUAUAUUCCAAUGAUGGGCUUCCUCAAAAUGCCCUAGGUCUUCGUGAGCAAGCAAGUUGGAUGCACACCCAAUUAGUUCUUUUGUUGAGCUUUCAUACACUUAUAGCUCUAGUGCAUCCGUUGCAUGGCAACCCCUACUCACUCACAUUGAUAUCUAUUGAUGGGCAUCUCCAUAGCAAUUGAUACGCCUAGUUGAUGUGAGACUAUCUUCUCCUUUUGGCUUUCUCCACACCCACCAUUCUAUUCCACCUAUAGUGCUAUGUCCAUGGCUCACGCUCAUGUAUUGCAUGAAGAUUGAAAAAGUUUGAGAACAUCAAAAGUAUGAAACAAUUGCUUGGCUUGUCAUCGGGGUUGUGCAUGAUUUAAAUACUUUGUGUGGUGAAGAUAGAGCAUAGCCAGACUAUAUGAUUUUGUAGGGAUAACUUCCUUUGGCCAUGUUAUUUUGAGAAGACAUGAUUGCUUUGUUAGUAUGCUUGAAGUAUUAUUAUUUUUAUGUCAAUAUUAAACUUUUGUCUUGAAUCUUUCGGAUCUGAAUAUUCAUGCCACAAUAAAGAAAAUUGCAUUGAGAAUUAUGGUAGGUAGCAUUCCACAUCAAAAAUUAUGUUUUUAUCAUUUACCUACUCGAGGACGAGCAGGAAUUAAGCUUGGGGAUGCUUGAUACGUCUCCAAUGUAUCUAUAAUUUUUUUAUUGUUCCAUGCUAUUAUAUUAUCUGUUUUGGAUGUUUAAUGGGCUUUAAUAUACCUUUUUAUAUUAUUUGUGGGACUAACCUACUAACCAAGGCCCAGUGCAAAUUGCUGUUUUUUUGCCUAUUUCAGUGUUUCGCAAAAAAGGAAUAUCAAAUGGAAUCCAAACGGAAUGAAACCUUCGGGAGAGUUAUUUUUGGAACAAACGUGAUCCAGGAGACUUGGAGUUGGCAUCAAGAAAGAAGCGAGGAGGCCACGAGGCAGGGAGGCGCACCCAGGGGGGUAGGCGCGCCCCUACCCUCGUGGGCCCCUCGCAGCUCCACCGACGUACUUCUUCCUCCUAUAUACACCCAUAUACCCCGAAAACAUCCAGGAGCACCACGAGAUCCUAUUUCCACUGCCGCAACCUUCUGUACCUGUGAGAUCCCAUCUUGGGGCCUUUUCCGGUGCUCUGCCGGAGGGGGAAUCGAUCACGGAGGGCUUCUACAUCAACACCAUAGCCUCUCCGAUGAUGUGUUAGUAGUUUACCACAGACCUUUAGGUCCAUAGUUAUUAGCUAGAUGGCUUCUUCUCUCUCUUUGGAUCUCAAUACAAAGUUCUCCUCGAUCUUCUUGGAGAUCUAUUCGAUGUAACUCUUUUUGCGGUGUGUUUGCCGAGAUCCGAUUAAUUGUGGGUUUAUGAUUUGAUUAUCUAUGAAUAUUAUUUGAUUCUUCUCUGAAUUCUUAUAUGCAUGAUUUGAUAUCUUUGCAAGUCUCUUCGAAUUAUCAGUUUAGUUUGGCCUACUAGAUUGAUCUUUCUUGCAAUGGGAGAAGUGCUUAGCUUUGUGUUCAAUCUUGCGGUGUCCUUUCCCAGUGACAGCAGGGGCAGCAAGGCACGUAUUGUAUUGUUGCCAUCGAGGAUAAAAAGAUGGGGUUUAUAUCAUAUUGCUUGAGUUUAUCCCUCUACAUCAUGUCAUCUUGCCUAAUGCGUUACUCUGUUCUUAUGAACUUAAUACUCUAGAUGCAUGCUGGAUAGCGGUCGAUGUGUGGAGUAAUAGUAGUAGAUGCAGAAUCAUUUCGGUCUACUUGUCACGGAUGUGAUGCCUAUAUUCAUGAUCAUUGCCUUAGAUAUCAUCAUAACUAUGCGCUUUUCUAUCAAUUGCUCAGCAGUAAUUUGUUCACCCACCGUAAUAUAUGCUAUCUUGAGAGAAGAUACUAGUGUAACCUAUGGCCCCCGGGUCUACUUUACAUCAUAUUAGUUUCCCGUCAACUAGCCAUUUCUGUCGCCGUUUAUUUUACAAUCUUUAUAUUCAAAUCUAUACAACAAAAAUACCAAAAAUAUUUAUCUUAUUAUCUUUAUCAGAUAUCACUUUCGUAAGUGACCGUGAAGGGAUUAACAACCCCUUUAUCGCAUUGGUUGUGAGGUUCUUGUUUGUUUGGGCAGGUACUAGGCGAUUUGCGUGUAGUCUCCUACUCGAUUGAUACCUUGGUUUUCAAAAAGUGAGGGAAAUACUUACGCUACUUUGCUGCAUCACCCUUUCCUUUUCAUCGGAAAACCAACGCAUGCUCAAGAGGUAGCAUCCACUUGCUCCCUUUUUAUGUAAGUAAGAGUCUACACUCUUACGUGGGAGGAGUGUGAAACACCGCGGAUCUGAUUUUGAUCGAGGGAUAACUGUUCCCUGCGAAAUAAUGGAGAACUGUUAGCAAUUAUAGCAUAAUAAUUAGGGCAUCUCCAGUGCAGGCCAACAAAUUUACAUCGGCAUCUCUCCGAGGACACUGAUGGAUGCCAUCCAAUGCUGCGUGCAUACCUUUCGACAACUAUAUGAACUAACCCGACCAAAUUCAUGCAAACAAAGCAAAUUUCAAAUUAACCGGAUGAAUUCAUUACAUUUCAAAAACUUUUCCUAUAAACUGGACGAAAUUCAUUACAUAUUUCGCACAAACCAUACUAAAACCUACUAUAAACCUAAUCUAAACGAUCGCCGCCGCCCGACCUGUUGGGGAACGUAGUAAUUUCAAAAAAAUUCCUACGCACACGCAAGAUCAUGGUGAUGCAUAGCAAGAAGAGGGGAGAGUGUGAUCUACGUACCCUUGUAGACCGAUAGUGGAAGCGUUAUGACAACACAGUUGAUGUAGUCGUACGUCUUCACGGCCCGAUCGAUCAAGCACCGAAACUACGGCACCUCUGAGUUCUAGCACACGUUCAGCUCGAUGACGAUCCCCGGACUCCGAUCCAGCAAAGUGUCGGGGAAGAGUUCCGUCAGCACGACGGCGUGGUGACGAUCUUGAUGUUCAACUGUCGCAGGGCUUCGCCUAAGCACCACUACAAUAUUAUCGAGGAGUAUGGUGGAAGGGGGCACCACACACGGCUAAGAAAAUGAUCACGAAGAUCAACUUGUGAGUCUAGGGGUGCCCCCUGCCCCCGUAUAUAAAGGAGCAAGGGGAGGAGGCCGGUCGGCCCUAGGGCGCGCCAAGGAGGAGGAGUCCUCCUCCUAGUAGGAGUAGGACUCCCCUCUUUCCUACUCCUACUAGUAGGGCUCCCUGGCCUGAACCUCCAGCUCCUCCUAUGCCACCCCACCUAAUGAACUUCCAAGCCUGGCUGGCCUCUCAGGGUUUGACUGUUAUGCAUGGAGUGGUUCCUGACAAUAAUGUCACUGACAAUCCUAUGCAAGCAUGGCAUGAGGCAAUUACUGAAUCUUCUGAAUAUACAUCCUCGGAAGAAUCUGAUGCCACUGUCUCCGACUUGCUUGUUAUGCCAGUGACUUCUCCAGGAGCCUUUUCUGCUGCUCUGGCGGCUCCAUCUACUGCUGCUGACAUGGUUACCAUCUCUGUCGACAUUCAUGACCAAGGUAUGCGCUUUGGUCUAUCUGCUCAGGGCGAUUCCCUCAUGGAAAUCCUUUUGGCCAACCCUGUUCCCCGACAGCAACUCAAUACUGCACUUUUCAAUGCCAUCCGGCCUAUACUUGCUACAAGGGGACCAUGGGCUGCUGGUUUUGGAUUCAGACACGAGGUUAUGCACUUUGAAGUUCAGGUCACUGCUGGCCCUACUGGCAUUCAAUUCUCACAAAAUACUCUGCUUGCUCCGGCAACUACUGCAUCACUACUCAUUGAGGAACUUUCUGACAGCCAGACACCACUUGUUGAUCAGUCCAGGCUGGAACCACAGGGAUCCAUGGAAGCUUCUCAUGUGCUGCUGACUGAAACUGAGGAUUCUGCCACUGUGGUGGUACAAACCAACACUUUCAGUUCUGAUUUGGAGACUGAUUCACACCUCAUGGACUUGGCUGCACGUCACUCUGAAACUCAGACUGGCCUGCUUCAGAUUGCAACAGGUGCCAUUUCUGAAACUACAAGCAGUGCGGUGGGUUCUUCAGCUCAUAAACGCAAAGGAAAGGCGCCAGUCCCCAUUGACACUUCCACUCUCCGUCGCAGCACUCGUACUAACAAAUAUGAUGGAUUUCGCACCACCUCUCUGUCUGAAGCCAAGGUCUCUAAAUCCAAGGUAAAACCGCGCAAUGUUCCUACAGCCGUCUCUGCUGGUCCUGCAACUGCUGCUUCAACUCAGAUGGCUCCUGAAGAUCUCCCUCCUCCAACUGACAUUGCCACAAUGCAAGCCAUUGGCACAAAUCUAUGUGCUAUCCCGGAGGAGGAGCUCACGGUUGCUGCUUUCACUGAAGACCCGGCGGGGACCUCUUCAUCAUCCUCAGCUUGAUUCCUCGCUUUAUUUCUUCGCUUAAUGGCUCUUUUGCAGUCGUGGAACGUACUUUGUUGGAAUAUUCGUGGUCUUAAUGCGGACAAAAAGCGCUUAGCCUUAUCUAAUGCGAUCCAGUCUAGUGGAUGUGCGAUUAUCUGUCUUCAAGAGACUAAAAUGCAGACGUUUGAUGCUAGCACUCUCAAGUUGAUUUGUCCAAAACGCUUUGAUAAAUUUGCGUAUAUCCUGUCUGUCGGAGCGUCGGGGGGAAUUGUUACGAUCUGGAAUAGUGCUCUCUUCUCUGGUACGAUCGCCUUUGAGGAACAAUUUGCGUUAGGCGUCACCUUCACUUCCACUCAAAAUGCGCAUACUUGGACGUUGGUUAACAUCUACGGCCCGUGUCAAGGGGAGCAGCGUAAUACUUACACUAAAUGGUUGUUUGACUUGACAAUUCCGCUGACUGAAGAUUGGCUACUGCUUGGAGACUUCAAUUUCAUUCGAUCGCCUAACAAUCGAAACCUACCAGGGGGAAACGCCCAGGAUAUGUUUACUUUCAACGACUUCAUCCGUGAGCAAGACUUAACUGAACUUCCUAUUAAAGGUAGGGCUUACACCUGGUCGAACAUGCAGAUCAACCCCCUGCUCGAACAACUAGACUGGUUCUUCACCUCGCUCAACUGGACGACAUCCUUCCCCAAUACCAUGGUAAACCCUUUGGGCCGCCCUGUAUCUGAUCACAUUCCCUGCUCCGUGGUCAUUCAAUCCACAAUCCCCCGGAGCAAGAUCUUCCGGUUUGAAACAUACUGGAUUGCGCACCCUGGCUUUAUGCAGACUGUGGAGGACGCUUGGAAUAAACCCAUAAAAUUUGGCAAAGACAAAAAUGCAGCUUCGAUCCUUUGUCAAAAACUGAAAGCUGUCAGAUACGCCCUAUCCCACCGGAGCAAAAAGAUUUCCCGCCUAAAAAUUGCCAUUGAGAACUCAAAUAAGGCCCUUCUUGAGCUGGAUAGUCUUGAAGAACGACGUACACUUUCGAUCCCUGAGCGUAACUUCAAAAAAAUCCUCAAAAAACACCUCCUACGACUCCUUAGUUACCAAAAGGAGUACUGGAAGAAGAGAUGCACAAUCCGUUGGAUUAAGUUUAGCGAUGAAAACUCGAAAUUUUUUCAAGCUGUUGCCACGGAACGAUUCAGACGAAACUGCAUUGCUACCCUAAAAUCUGAAAAUGGGUAUACCGUCAAGGAUCAUGCAAGUAAAGAAGCUAUCUUAUUUCAAGCCUUCAAACAAAGGUUGGGUUCUUGCUCGAAACCUAACAUGAAACUCAACCUAUCGUCUCUCCUCCGUCACCAAGUGGACUUUGAGCGCCUCACUGCCCCGUUUGCAACGCAUGAAAUUGAUGCUGCGAUUAAGGAAAUGCCCCCGGACAAAGCCCCGGGCCCGGAUGGUUUCAAUGGAGCCUUUCUGAAAGCUUGUUGGCCUAUCAUUAAAAAUGAUUUCUACAACUUAUGCAAUGAAUUUCACAGAGGAGACUUGAAUCUUGAAAGUGUAAAUUAUGGUUAUAUCACUCUGAUACCAAAGAAUGCCUCCCAGGAGACGGUCAAUGACUUCCGCCCAAUCACUUUGCUCAAUUGUUGCCUUAAGCUGAUCACCAAACUACUGGCCAAUCGUCUCCAAAAAAUCAUCUUGCAGAUAGUCCACCGUAAUCAAUACGGGUUCUUGCAUGGACGAUCCAUACAUGACUGCUUAGCGUGGGCCUUCGAGUAUAUUCACCAGUGUCAAGCCUCGCAAAAUGAGAUUAUCCUACUGAAACUUGAUUUUGCCAAAGCCUUUGACACUAUUCAACACUCGGCUAUGCUCCACAUUAUGAAAAAAGUGGGUUUCAAUGACAAAUGGCUCCACUGGAUGCAAAGUAUCUUCAAUUCUGGCAAAUCCUCAGUCAUUCUAAAUGGUACUCCAGGAAGUUCUUUCCUAUGCAAGUGCGGUGUGCGACAAGGUGACCCCCUCUCGCCUCUGACAUUUGUUAUAGCUGCGGAUCUCCUUCAAUCUGCAAUCAACGAAGCUCUUCGGAAUAAUAUCCUGAACUUACCAAUCCAACGUGACACUAACGGGGAUUACCCAGUUAUCCAAUACGCGGAUGACACACUCAUCAUCCUGCCAGCUUGCACCCGGCAACUCACCAAGAUUAAGGAAAUUCUGGAGGAUUACGCCACGUCAGUAGGGCUCAAAAUCAACUUCCAUAAGUCCACACUUGUGCCAAUUAACACGCCUCCUGACAAAUGCAAAAAACUGGCUGAGCUGUUAGGUUGCACAGUGGGUUCCAUGCCGUUCACAUAUCUGGGGCUGCCCCUAGGCACCACUCGUCCGACCGUGCUGGAUCUGGCUCCGCUUGUUUGCAAAGCAGAAAGAAACAUUACGGCUGCUAUGUCUCUAAUGUCGUACGCGGGGAAACUUGCUCUAAUGAAUUCGUUGGUAACCUCUCUUAUCAUGUUCACUAUGGGUACCAUUCGCAUCCCACCAAAAAUUAUGGCCCAACUAGACAAGAUCAGAAGGCAUUGCCUAUGGCAAAAACGGACCGAAGAUGGGACCAAGAGCAAUUCUCUUGCGGCUUGGGACAUGGUCUGCAGGCCUAAGAAAAAUGGUGGACUGGGAGUUGUCAACCUCAAAAUACAGAAUGACGCUUUGCUGCUUAAGUUUCUCCACAAGUUUUACAACAGGCAUGAUAUCCCUUGGGUACAUCUCAUUUGGGAUUCCUACUAUGGUGACUCCAUCCCUCAUGCACAUGAUGCAUGUGGCUCCUUCUGGUGGAAAGUCUUAACUCAGCUAAUGCCCAUAUAUCGCGGCGUCACGCACGUAAAAAUUGGGAAUGGAUCUUCUACGCUCUUUUGGAAAGAUAAUUGGAGCCAGUCCAUAUAUGCUGAUAGUUGCCCGAGAGCCUACUCAUAUGCUAUCUCUGAAGAUGUCUCGGUACAACACAUUUUCACGUCCCCCCAUCUGCAGGAAAACUUUCAUCUCCCGCUUUCUAUUCAGGCCCAUGAUGAGCUGCGAUCCAUCCAACUUGAAGUGGCCGAAAACACUCUUACGGAGGAACAUGACACCUGGCAGUGUAUUUGGGGCGGCAAUACUUUUCAGACAUCAUCAUACUACAGAUUCUACUUCAGACAUGUAACUGCCCAUGAAGCCUUCGGUUGGUUAUGGAAAGCAAAGUGUACUCCCAAGCUCAAAACAUUCGGGUGGUUCCUGCUGGUUGAUCGCCUCAACACCAGAAACAUGCUCAAGAGGAGGCACUACAACAUUGGGACAAACUUCGACUGCCUCCUUUGUGGCCAACAUGUUGAAGAAACGGUGGAACACCUCUUCUUUCACUGCACAUUUAGUCAGGAAUGUUGGCUACAUCUAGGCUUCAACUGGUCUUUGCAGCAUGACAGACUUGACAUGAUCAAACAUCAGAAGACCGUGCACCCUAGAAAGAUGUGGAUGGAUAUUUUUUUGAUGUCGGCCUGGAGUCUCUGGAAGGAGAGAAACAACCACCACUUUAGGAAAAUUAAGCCAUCAGUUGCUUCCUGGAAACAGAGGUUUAAGUUGGACUUUGACAAUCUUACAUAUAGAGUGAAACCUUCCAAACAACAUAUUGUAUCUGCCAUAGUUGGGUCCAUACAGUAGGCGUCUUGUAAACUAGGGUGUCCCAUGGUGGUGCCUCAACCACCCAUGUAUGUAAAUCACACAUGUAAUUGUACCCCCUGAGGUUUUAGUAAUAUAUAUGCAGUAGGAACCUUUCCUACUGUCUUCACAGUCAAAAAAAAGGGGAGAGGGAGAAGGAAAGGGGGCGCUGCCCCCCCUCUCCUAGUCCAAUUCGGACCAGGGGGGCGCAGCCCACCCAGGCUGCCCCUCUCUCUCUCCACUAGGGCCCAUAAGUCCCAUUACUUCUCCCGGGGGGUUCCGGUAACCCUUCGGCACUCCGGUUUCUCCAAAAUCACCCGGAACACUUCCGGUGUCCGAAUAUAGCCGUCCAAUAUAUAAAUCUUUAUGUCUCGACCAUUUCGAAACUCCUCGUCAUGUCCGUGAUCACAUUCAGGACUCCGAACUAACUUCGAUACAUCAAAACUCAUAAACUCAUAAUAUAACUGUCAUCGAAACUUUAAGCAUGCGGACCCUACGGGUUUGAGAACAAUGUAGACAUGACCGAGACAUGUCUCUGGUCAAUAACCAAUAGCGGAACCUGGAUGCUCAUAUUGGCUCCCACAUAUUCUACGAAGAUCUUUAUCGGUCAGACCGCAUAACAACAUACGUUGUUCCCUUUGUCAUCGGUAUGUUACUUGCCCGAGAUUCGAUCGUUGGUAUCUCAAUACCUAGUUCAAUCUUGUUACCGGCAAGUCUCUUUACUCGUUUCGUAAUACAUCAUCUCGCAACUAACUCAUUAGUUGCAAUGCUUGCAAGGCUUAUGUGAUGUGCAUUACCGAGAGGGCCCAGAGAUACCUCUUCGACAAUCGGAGUGACAAAUCCUAAUCUCGAAAUACGCCAACCCAACAUUUACCUUUGGAGACACCUGUAGAGCUCCUUUAUAAUCACCCAGUUACGUUGUGACGUUUGGUAGCACACAAAGUGUUCCUCCGGCAAACGGGAGUUGCAUAAUCUCAUGGUCAUAGGAACAUGUAUAAGUCAUGAAGAAAGCAAUAGCAACAUACUAAACGAUCGGGUGCUAAGCUAAUGGAAUGGGUCAUGUCAAUCACAUCAUUCUCCUAAUGAUGUGAUCCCGUUAAUCAAAUGACAACACAUGUCUAUGGUUAGGAAACAUAACCAUCUUUGAUUGAUGAGCUAGUCAAGUAGAGGCAUACUAGUGACGUUUAGUUUGUCUAUGUAUUCACACAAGUAUUAUGUUUCCGGAUAAUACAAUUCUAGCAUGAAUAAUAAACAUUUAUCAUGAUAUAAGGAAAUAAAAUAAUAACAUUAUUAUUGCCUCUAGGGCAUAUUUCCUUCAGUCUCCCACUUGCACUAGAGUUAAUAAUCUAGAUUACACAGUAAUGAUUCUAACACCCAUGGAGCUUUGGUGCUGAUCAUGUUUUGCUCGUGGAAGAGGCUUAGUCAAUGGGUCUGCAACAUUCAGAUCCGUAUGUAUCUUGCAAAUCUCUAUGUCUCCAACCUGGACUAGAUCCCGGAUGGAAUUGAAGCGUCUCUUGAUGUGCUUGGUUCUCUUGUGAAAUCUGGAUUCCUUUGCCAAGGCAAUUGCACCAGUAUUUUCACAAAAUAUUUUCAUUGGACCCGAUGCACUAGGUAUGACACCUAGAUCAGAUAUGAACUCCUUCAUCUAGACUCCUUCGUUUGCUGCUUCUGAAGCAACUAUGUACUCCGCUUCACAUGUAGAUCCCGCCACAACGCUUUGUUUAGAACUGCACCAACUGACAGUUCCACCGUUUAAUGUAAACACACAUCCGGUUUGCGAUUUAGAAUCGUCCGGAUUAGUGUCAAAGCUUGCAUCAACAUAACCAUUUACGAUGAGCUCUUUGUCACCUCCAUAUAUGAGAAACAUAUCCUUAGUCCUUUUCAGGUAUUUCAGGAUGUUCUUGACCGCUGUCCAGUGAUCCACUCCUGGAUUACUUUGGUACCUCCCUGCUAGACUUAUAGCAAAACACACAUCAGGUCUGGUACAUAGCAUUGCAUACAUGAUAGAGCCUAUGGCUGAAGCAUAGGGAACGUCUUUCAUUUUCUCUCUAUCUUCUGCAUUAGUCGGGCAUUGAGUCUUACUCAAUUUCACACCUUGUAACACAGGCAAGAAUCCUUUCUUUGCUUGAUCCAUUUUGAACUUCUUCAAAACUUUGUCAAGGUAUGUGGUUUGUGAAAGUCCAAUUAAGCGUCUUGAUCUAUCUCUAUAGAUCUUAAUGCCCAAUAUGUAAGUAGCUUCACCGAGGUCUUUCAUUGAAAAACUCUUAUUCAAGUAUCCCUUUAUGCUAUCCAGAAAUUCUAUAUCAUUUCCGAUUAGUAAUAUGUCAUCUACAUAUAAUAUCAGAAAUGCUACAGAGCUCCCACUCACUUUCUUGUAAAUACAGGCUUCUCCACAAGUCUGUAAAAAACCAAAUGCUUUGAUCACACUAUCAAAGCGUUUAUUCCAACUCCGAGAGGCUUGCACCAGUCCAUAAAUGGAUCGCUGGGGCUUGCACACUUUGUUAGCUCCCUUUGGAUCGACAAAACCUUCCGGCUGCAUCAUAUACAACUCUUCUUCUAGAAAUCCAUUCAGGAAUGCAGUUUUUACAUCCAUCUGCCAAAUUUCAUAAUCAUAAAAUGCGGCAAUUGCUAACAUGAUUCGGACAGACUUAAGCAUCACUACGGGAGAGAAGGUCUCAUCAUAGUCAAUCCCUUGAACUUGUCGAAAACCUUUUGCGACAAGUCGAGCUUUGUAGACAGUAACAUUACCGUCAGCGUCGGUCUUCUUCUUGAAGAUCCAUUUAUUCUCAGUUGCUUGCCGAUCAUUGGGCAAGUCAACCAAAGUCCAUACUUUGUUCUCAUACAUGGAUCCCAUCUCAGAUUUCAUGGCUUCAAGCUGUUUUGCGGAAUCUGGAGUCACCAUCGCUUCUUCAUAGUUCGUAGGUUCAUCAUGAUCUAGUAGCAUGACUUCCAGAACAGGAUUACCGUACCACUCUGGUGCGGAUCUUACUCUGGUUGAUCUACGAGGUUCAGUAGUAUCUUGUUCUGAAGUUUCAUGAUCAUCAUCAUUAGCUUCCUCACUAAUUGGUGUAGGUGUCACAAAAACUGGUUUCUGUGAUGUACUACUUUCCAAUAAGGGAGUAGGUAUAGUUACCUCAUCAAGUUCUACUUUCCUCCCACUCACUUCUCUCGAGAGAAACUCCUUCUCUAGAAAGUUUCCGAAUUUAGCAACAAAAGUCUUGCCUUCGGAUCUGUGAUAGAAGGUGUAUCCAAUAGUUUCCUUUAGAUAUCCUAUGAAGACACAUUUCUCCGAUUUGGGUUCGAGCUUAUCAGGUUGAAGCUUUUUCACAUAAGCAUCACAGCCCCAAACUUUCAGAAACGACAACUUUGGUUUUUUGCCAAACCACAGUUCAUAAGGUGUCGUCUCAACGGAUUUUGAUGGUGCCCUAUUUAACGUGAAUGCGGCCGUCUCUAGAGCAUAACCCCAAAACGAUAGCGGUAAAUCAGUAAGAGACAUCAUAGAUCGCACCAUAUCAAGUAAAGUACGAUUACGACAUUCAGACACACCAUUACGCUGUGGUGUUCCAGGUGGCGUGAGUUGUGAAACUAUUCCGCAUUGUUUCAAAUGUACACCAAACUCGUAACUUAAAUAUUCUCCUCCACGAUCAGAUCGUAGGAAUUUUAUUUUCUCGUUACGAUGAUUUUCAACUUCACUCUAAAAUUCUUUGAACUUUUCAAACGUUUCAGACUUAUGUUUCAUUAAGUAGAUAUACCCAUAUCUGCUUAAAUCAUCUGUGAAGGUGAGAAAAUAACGAUAUCUGCCACGAGCCUCAACAUUCAUCGGACCACAUACAUCUGUAUGUAUGAUUUCCAACAAAUCUGUUGCUCUCUCCAUAGUACCGGAGAACAGUGUUUUUGUCAUCUUACCCAUAAGGCACGGUUCGCAAGUAUCAAGUGAUUCAUAAUCAAGUGGUUCCAAAAGUCCAUCAGUAUGGAGUUUCUUCAUGCGCUUUAUACCGAUAUGACCUAAACGGCAGUGCCACAAAUAAGUUGCACUAUCAUUAUCAACUCUGCAUCUUUUGGCUUCAACAUUAUGAAUAUGUGUGUCACUACUAUCGAGAUUUAAUAAGAAUAGACCAUUCUUCAUGGGUGCAUGACCAUAAAAGAUUUUACUCAUAUAAAUAGAACAACCAUUAUUCUCUGAUUUAAAUGAAUAACCGUUUCGCAUCAAACAAGAUCCAGAUAUAAUGUUCAUGCUCAACGCUGGCACCAAAUAACAAUUAUUUAGGUCUAAUACUAAUCCCGAAGGUAGAUGUAGAGGUAGCGUGCCGGCUGCGAUCACAUCGACUUUGGAACCAUUUCCCACGCGCAUCGUCACCUCGUCCUUAGCCAAUCUUCGCUUAAUCCGUAGUCCCUGUUUCGAGUUGCAAAUAUUAGCAACAGAACCAGUAUCAAAUACCCAGGUGCUACUGCGAGCAUUAGUAAGGUACACAUCAAUAACAUGUAUAUCGCAUAUACCUUUGUUCACCUUGCCAUCCUUCUUGUCCGCCAAAUAUUUGGGGCAGUUCCGCUUCCAGUGACCAGUCUGCUUGCAGUAGAAGCACUCAGUUUCAGGCUUAGGUCCAGAUUUGGGUUUCUUCUCUUGAGCAGCAACUUGCUUGUUGUUAUUUUUGAAGUUCCCCUUCUUCUUCCCUUUGCCCUUUUUCUUGAAACUAGUGGUCUUGUUGACCAUCAACACUUGAUGCUCCUUAUUGAUUUCUACCUCCGCAGCUUUCAGCAUUGCGAAGAGCUCGGGAAUAGUCUUAUUCAUCCCUUGCAUAUUAUAGUUCAUCACGAAGCUCUUGUAGCUAGGUGGUAGUGAUUGGAGAAUUCUGUCAAUGACGCAAUCAUCUGGAAGAUUAACUCCCAAUUGAAUCAAGUGAUUAUUAUACCCAGACAUUUUGAGUAUAUGCUCACUGACAGAACUACUCUCCUCCAUCUUGCAACUAUAGAACUUAUUGGAGAAUUCAUAUCUCUCAAUCCGGGCAUUUGCUUGAAAUAUUAACUUCAACUCCUGAAACAUCUCAUAUGCUCCAUGAUGUUCAAAACGUCGUUGAAGUCCCGAUUCUAAGCCGUAAAGCAUGGCACACUGAACUAUCGAGUAGUCAUCAGCUUUGCUCUGCCAGACGUUCAUAACAUCUGGUAUUGCUCCAGCAGCAGGCCUGGCACCCAGUGGUGCUUCCAGGACGUAAUUCUUCUGUGCAGCAAUGAGGAUAAUCCUCAAGUUACGGACCCAGUCCGUGUAAUUGCUACCAUCAUCUUUCAACUUUGCUUUCUCAAGGAACGCAUUAAAAUCCAACGGAACAACAACACGGGCCAUCUAUCUACAAUCAACAUAAACAAGCAAAAUACUAUCAGGUACUAAGUUCAUGAUAAAUUUAAGUUCAAUUAAUCAUAUUACUAGAGAACUCCCACUUAGAUAGACAUCCCUCUAUGUUGAUCAUAUCUACUAAACCAUGUCCGAUCAUCAUGUGAGAUGGAGUAGUUUCAUUGGUGAACAUCACUAUGUUGAUCAUAUCUACUAUAUGAUUCACGCUCGACCUUUUGGUCUCCGUGUUCCGAGGCCAUAUCUGUAUAUGCUUGGCUCGUCAAGUAUAACCUGAGUAUUCUGCAUGUGCAACUGUUUUGCACCCAUUGUAUUUGAAUGUAGAGCCUAUCACACCCGAUCAUCACGUGGUGUCUCAGCACGAAGAACUUUCGCAAUGGUGCAUACUCAGGGAGAACACUUCUUGAUAAUUAGUGAGAGAUCAUCUUAAAAUGCUACCGUCAAUCAAAGCAAGAUAAGAUGCAUAAAAGAUAAACAUCACAUGCAAUCAAUAUAAGUGAUAUGAUAUGGCCAUCAUCAUCUUGUGCUUGUGAUCUCCAUCUUCGAAGCACCGUCAUGAUCACCAUCGUCAUUGGUGCGACACCUUGAUCACCAUCGUAGCAUCGUUGUCGUCUCGCCAAUCUUAUGCUUCCACGACUAUCGCUACCGCUUAGUGAUAAAGUAAAGCAUUACAGCGCAAUUGCAUUGCAUACAAUAAAGCGACAACCAUAUGGCUCCUGCCAGUUGUCGAUAACUCCGUUACAAAACAUGAUCAUCUCAUACAAUAAAUAUAGCAUCAUGUCUUCACCAUAUCACAUACAACAUGCCUUGCAAAAACAAGUUAGACAUCCUCUACUUUGUUGUUGCAAGUUUUACGUGGCUGCUACGGGCUGAGCAAGAACCGUUCUUACCUACGCAUCAAAACCACAACGAUAGUUUGUCAAGUUAGUGUUGUUUUAACCUUCUCAAGGACCGAGCGUAGCCACACUCGGUUCAACUAAAGUUGGAGAAACUGACACCCACCAGCCACCUGUGUGCAAAGCACGUCGGUAGAACCAAUCUCGCGUAAGCGUAUGCGUAAUGUUGGUCCGGGCCGCUUCAUCCAACAAUACCGCCGAACCAAAGUAUGACAUGCUGGUAAGCAGUAUGACUUGUAUCGCCCACAACUCACUUGUGUUCUACUCGUGCAUAUAACAUCUACACAUAUAACCAGGCUCGGAUACCACUGUUGGGGAACGUGGUAAUUUCAAAAUUUUCCUACGCACACGCAGGAUCAUGGUGAUGCAUAGCAACGAGAGGGGAGAGUGUCGUCCAUGUACCCUCGCAGACCGUUAAGUGGAAGCGUUAUGACAACGCGGUUGAUGUAGGAUUACGUCUUCACGAUCGACCGAUCCUCAGUACCGAACGUACUGCACCUCCGCGUUCAGCACACGUUCAGCUCGGUGUCGUCCCGCGAACUCACGAUCUAGUAGAGCUCAGGGAAGAGUUUCGUCAGCACGACGGUGUGGUGACGAUGUUGAUGAAGCUACUGCAGCAGGGCUUCGCCUAAACACCGCUACAGUAUGACCGAGGUGGAUUAUGGUGGACGGGGGGCACCGCACACGGCUGGGAGAGAUCUUUGUGAUCAACCUGUGUGUCUAGAGGUGCCCCACUGCCACUGUAUAUAAAGGAGCAAGGGGGAGGCCGGCCGGCCCUUGUUGGCGCGCCUAGGAGGAGGAAUCCUCCUCCUAGUAGGAGUAGGAUUCCUCCCUUUCCUACUCUUACUAGGAGGGGGAAAGGCAGGGAGAGAAAGAGAAGGAAAGGGGCGCGCCGCCCCCCUUCUCCUAGUCCAAUUCGGACAGGGGGGAAGGGGGUGCGCUGCCUGCCCUAGGCUGGCCCCUCUCUCUUUCCCUUAUGGCCCAACAAGGCCCAUUAGCCCCCGGGAGGUUCCGGUAACCCCUCCGGUACUCUGGUAAAAUCCCGAUUUCACCCGAAACUAUUCCGAUGUCCAAAUGUAGGCUUCCAAUAUAUCAAUCUUCAUGUCUCAACCAUUUCAAGACUCCUCGUCAUGUCUGUGAUCACAUCCGGGACUACGAACUACCUUCGGUACAUCAAAACAUAUAAACUCAUAAAACCAAUCGUCACAGAACUUUAAGCGUGCGGACCCUACGGGUCCGAGAACUAUGUAGACAUGACCGAGACACAUCUUCGGUCAAUAACCAAUAGCGGAACCUGGAUGCUCAUAUUGGUUCCUACAUAUUCUACGAAGAUCUUUAUCGGUCAAACCGCACAACACUAUACGUUGUUCUCUUUGUCAUCGGUAUGUUACUUGCCUGAGAUUCGAUCGUCUGUAUCCAAUACCUAGUUCAAUCUCAUUACUCGCAAGUCUCUUUACUCAUUCCUUAAUACAUCAUCCCGUAACUAACUCAUUAGUUAUCAUGCUUGCAAGGCUUAUAAUGAUGUGUAUUACCGAGAGGGCCCAAAGAUACCUCUCCGAUAAUCGGAGUGACAAAUCCUGAUCUUGAUCUAUGCUGAUAACUUGGUUACAAAACAUGACCAUCUCAUACAAUAAAAUUUAGCAUCAUGUCUUGACCAUAUCACAUCACAACAUGCCCUGCAAAAACAAGUUAGACGUCCUCUACUUUGUUGUUGCAAGUUUUACGUGGCUGCUACGGGCUUAAGCAAGAACCAAUCUUACCUACGCAUCAAAACCACAACGAUAGUUUGUCAAGUUGGUGUUGUUUUAACCUUCGCAAGGACCGGGCGUAGCCACACUCGGUUCAACUAAAGUUGGAGAAACUGACACCCGCCAGCCACCAGUGUGCAAAGCACGUCGGUAGAACCAGUCUCGCGUAAGCGUACGCGUAAUGUCGGUCCGGGCCGCUUCAUCCAACAAUACCGCCGAACCAAAGUAUGACAUGCUGGUAAGCAGUAUGACUUAUAUCGCCCACAACUCACUUGUGUUCUACUCGUGCACAACAUCAACACAUAAAACCUGGCUCGGAUGCCACUGUUGGGGAACGUAGUAAUUUCAAAAAAAAAUCCUAUGCACACGCAAGAUCAUGGUGAUGCAUAGCAACGAGAGGGGAGAGUGUGAUCUACGUACCCUUGUAGACCGAUAGCGGAAGCGUUAUGACAACGCGGUUGAUGUAGUCGUACGUCUUCACGACCCGAUCGAUCAAGCACCGAAACUACGACACCUCCGAGUUCUAGCACACGUUCAGCUCGAUGACGAUCCCCGGACUCCGAUCCAGCAAAGUGUCGGGGAAGAGUUCCGUCAGCACGACGGCGUAGUGACUAUCUUGAUGUUCAACUGUCGCAGGGCUUCGCCUAAGCACCACUACAAUAUUAUCGAGGAGUAUGGUGGAAGGGGGCACCGGACACGGCUAAGAAAACGAUCACGAGGAUCAACUUGUGUGUCUAGGGGUGCCCCCUGCCCCCGUAUAUAAAGGAGAAAGGGGAGGAGGCUGGCCGGCCCUAGGGCGCGCCAAGGAGGAGGAGUCCUCCUCCUAGUAGGAGUAGGACUCCCCUCUUUCCUACUCCUACUAGGAGGGGGAAAGGAAGGGGGAGAGGGAUAAGGAAAGGGGGGCGCCGCCCCCCCUCUCCUAGUCCAAUUCGGACCAGAGUGGGAGGGGGCACGCGGACCACCCUGGCCGCCCCUCUCUCUCUCCACUAGGGCCCAUAAGGCCCAUUACUUCUCUCGGGGGGGUUCCGGUAACCCUCCGGCACUCCGGUUUUCUCUGAAAUCACCCGGAACACUUCCGGUGUGCGAAUAUAGCCGUCCAAUAUAUCAAUCUUUAUGUCUCGACCAUUUCGAGACUCCUUGUCAUGUCUGUGAUCACAUCCGGGACUCCGAACUAACUUCGGUACAUCAAAACUCAUAAACUCAUAAUAUAACUGUCAUCGAAACUUUAAGCGUGCGGACCCUACGGGUUCGAGAACAAUGUAGACAUCACCGAGACAUGUCUUCGGUCAAUAACCAAUAGCGGAACCUGGAUGCUCAUAUUGGCUCCCACAUAUUCUACGAAGAUCUUUAUCGGUCAGACCGCAUAACAACAUACGUUGUUCCCUUUGUCAUCGGUAUGUUACUUGCCCGAGAUUCGAUCGUCGGUAUCUCAAUACCUAGUUCAAUCUUGUUACCGGCAAGUCUCUUUACUCGUUUCGUAAUACAUCAUCUCGCAACUAACUCAUUAGUUGCAAUGCUUGCAAGGCUUAUGUGAUGUGCAUUACCGAGAGGGCCCAGAGAUACCUCUCCGACAAUCGGAGUGACAAAUCCUAAUCUCGAAAUACGCCAACCCAACAUUUACCUUUGGAGACACCUGUAGAGCUCCUUUAUAAUCACCCAGUUACAUUGUGACGUUUGGUAGCACACAAAGUGUUCCUCCGGCAAACGGGAGUUGCAUAAUCUCAUAGUCAUGGGAACAUGUAUAAGUCAUGAAGAAAGCAAUAGGAACAUACUAAAUGAUCGGGUGCUAAGCUAAUGGAAUGGGUCAUGUCAAUCACAUCAUUCUCCUAAUGAUGUGAUCCUGUUAAUCAAAUGACAACACAUGUCUAUGGUUAGGAAACAUAACCAUGUUUGAUUAACGAGCUAGUCAAGUAGAGGCAUACUAGUGACGUUUAGUUUGUCUAUGUAUUCACACAAGUAUUAUGUUUCCGGAUAAUACAAUUCUAGCAUGAAUAAUAAACAUUUAUCAUGAUAUAAGGAAAUAAAAUAAUAAACAUUAUUAUUGCCUCUAGGGCAUAUUUCCUUCACGACCACCAUGUCCGGCCAUGAACCCAAGAAAGUAGGCCAUUACCUUUGCCUCCUCCUCAUUCGCAUUGAUAACCUCCUCCUCUGGAGCACAAGGUUUUGAAGAUUUCUGCCUCCACGUCACCGUCAAGCGGCUAAUCAGCCGCCAAUGUUUAUCCCACCAAGCUUGGCGUCGACUGAGUAGAGGAGCAGUGGCCUUCCUGGGACCAGAGCGGCGGCGACCUACCAUGUACUACUCUUCCUCAUUGCCGUCUGCACCCGCGCACGCGUGCCGGCUUCGUGGUCGUGGUGGCAGAGGGUGGCCGGGGGGAGCCGAAGAUCUCCUUCGUCUGCUCCCGCGAUAGUACGUCCAAGAGAGCUUUGGAGCGCGCUCAGAGCGGAGCCGCCGAUGUCCUUCAUCUACUCCUGCGACAGUAUGUCCAAGAGAGCUUUGGAGCGCCAGGAGGCCAUGAUUGGAGUGGUGCCGAUAGAAGGAAUGGACUGGAGGAGAAUGAGUGUGGGUCUUUUGUCUACGGCUGGGAGAUGGGGCUCAAGUUAAUAUAGCGGGAAAAUGGCAAUGAGUCGCGGCAGACGGAUGGACGGCUGGCGCCGGAGUAGGUUCGUCGGCAGCCGCGUGUCAUUAAUGUGGGCGGAUGGAUGGAAGGAUGGCCGUGGUGUCAUUAAAACGUGGAGCAGUCGCUUGCACCGGGAUGCCGCGCCGGUGGGGCUAUCUCGGUCGUCGCGCUGCUGCAAUGUCGACGCCAGUGAGAGGUCGCGUCGGGCAUGAAUGCGGACGCUGCUUCAGUGACUUAACUGCAGGUGGAUUGGUUCACUGACAUGUGGGCUGCUACCUCUUGAGCACUGCGUUGGUUUUCCCUUGAAGAGGAAAGGGUGAUGCAGCAAAGUCGCGUAAGUAUCUCCCUUAGUUUUUGAGAACCAAGGUAUCAAUCCAGUAGGAGGCCACACACAAGUCCCUCGUACCUACACACACAAAUAAGAAACUCGCAACCAACACGAUAAAGGGGUUGUCAAUCCCUUCACGGUCACUUACGAGAGUGAGAUCUGAUAGAGAUAAUAAAGAUAAGAUAAAUAUUUUUGGUAUUUUUAUUAUAUAGAUUGAAAGUAAAGAUUGCAAAGUAGAAUAGAUUGGAAACUUAUAUGACGGAAAAUAGACCCGGGGGCCAUAGGUUUCACUAGAGGCUUCUCUCAAGAUAGCAUAAGUAUUACGGUGGGUGAACAAAUUACUGUCGAGUAAUUGAUAGAAAAGCGAAUAAUUAUGAGAAUAUCUAGGCAUGAUCAUGUAUAUAGGCAUCACGUCCAUGACAAGUAGACCGACUCCUGCCUGCAUCUACUACUAUUACUCCACACAUCAACAACUAUACAGCUUGCAUCUAGAGUAUUAAGUUCACAAGAACAGAGUAACACCUUAGGUAAGAUGACAUGAUGUAGAGGGAUAAACUCAAGCAAUAUGAUAUAAACCCCAUCUUUUUAUCCUCAAUGGCAACAAUACAAUACGUGUCAUUUCCCUUUCUGUCACUGGGAUCGAGCACCGCAAGAUUGAACCCAAAGCUAAGCACUUCUCCCAUUGCAAGAAAGAUCAAUCUAGUAGGCCAAACCAAACUGAUAAUUCGAAGAGACUUGCAAAGAUAACCAAUCACGCAUAGAAGAUUUCAGAGAAGAAUCAAAUAUUUUUCAUAGAUAGACUUGAUCAUAAACCCACAAUUCAUCGGAUCUCAACAAACACACCGCAAAAAGAGUUACAUCGAAUAGAUCUCCAAGAAGAUCGAGGAGAACUUUGUAUUGAGAUCCAAAGAGAGAGAAGAAGCCAUCUAGCUAAUAACUAUGGACCCGGAGGUCUGAAGUAAACUACUCACACAUCAUCGGAGGGGCCAUGGAGUUGAUUUAGAGGCCCUCCAUGAUUGAUGCCCCCUCCGGCGGAGCUCCGAAAAAGGCCCCAAGAUGGGAUCUCUUGGGUACAGAAGGUUGCGUCGGUGGAAAUAGGGUUUCGUGGUGCUCCUGGAUGUUUUCGGGGUACGUUAACAUAAAUAGGAGGAAGAAGUAGGUCGGUUGAGCCAUGAGGGGCCCACGAGGGGGGAGGGCGCGACCCCUGCCUCAUGGACACCUCGUCUAUUUCUUGACGUCCACUCCAAGUCCUCUGGAUCAUCUUUGUUCCAAAAAUCACGCUCCCGGAGGUUUCAUUCCGUUUGGACUCCAUUUGAUAUUCCUUUUCUGCAAAACACUGAAAUAGGCAAAAAAACAGCAAUUUGCACUGGGCCUUGGGUUAAUAGGUUAGUCCCAAAAAUAAUAUAAAAGUGUAAAAUAAAGCGCAUUAACAUCCAAAACAGAUAAUAUAUUGCAAGGAACAAUAAAAUAUUAUAGAUACGUUGGAGACGUAUCAAGCAUCCCCAAGCUUAAUUCCUGCUCGUCCUCGAGUAGGUAAAUGAUAAAAACAGAGUUUUUGAUGUGGAAUGCUUUCUAGCAUGUUCUUCGACGUAUUUUUAUCUAUUAUGGCAUGAAUGUUCAGAUCCAAAAGAUUCAAGAUAAAAGUUUAUUGUUGACUUAAAAAUAGUAAUACUCCAAGUAUGCUAAUCAAGCAAUUAUGUCUUAUCAAAAUACCAUAGCCAAAGAAAACUUAUCCCUACAAAGUCAUAUAGUUUGGCCAUGCUUCAUUUUCGUCACACAAAACGCUCCCAUCAUGCACAACCCCGAUGACAAGCCAAGCAAUUGUUUCAUACUUAGCCUUUUCAAACUCUUUCAACUUUUACGCAAUAUAUGAGCGCGAGCCAAGGACAUAGCACUAUGGGUGGAAUAGAAUAUGAUGAUUGAGGUUGUGUCAGAAGACAAAAGGGAGAAAGUCUCACAUUGACGCGGCUAAUCAAUGGGCUAUGGAGAUGCCCACCGAUUGAUGUCAAUGCAAGGAGUAGGGAUUUCCAUGUAACGGAUGCACUAGAGCUAUAAAUAUAUGAAAGCUCAUCAAAGAAACUAAGUGGGUGUGCAUCCAACUUGCUUGCUCACAAAGACCUAGGGCAUUUGAGGAAGCCCAUCAUUGGAAUAUGCAGGCCAAGUUCUAUAAUGAAAAAUUCCCACUAGUAUAUGAAAGUGACAAAAUAAGAGACUCUCUAUCAUGAAGAUCAUGGUGCUACUUUGAAGCACAAGUGUGGAAAAAGGAUAGUAACACUGUCCCUUCUCUCUUUUUCUCUUUUUUUUGUUUGGGCCUUCUUUUUUUAUGGCCUCUUUUUUUUUGUUCGGAGUCUCAUCCCGACUUGUGGGGGAAUCAUAGUUUCCAUCAUCCUUUCCUCACAUGGGACAAUGCUCUAAUGAUGAUCAUCACACUUUUAUUUACUUACAACUCAAUAUUUAGAACAAAUUAUAACUCUAUGUGAAUGCCUGCGGCGGUGUACCGGGAUUGCGAUAAAUCAAGAGUGACAUGUAUGAAAAAUUAAGCAUGGUGGCUUUGCCACAAAUACGAUGUCAACUACAUGAUCAUGCAAAGCAAUAUGACAAUGAUGAUGUGUGUCAUAAUAAAUGGAACGGUGGUAAGUUGCAUGGCAAUAUAUCUCGGAAUGGCUAUGGAAAUGCCAUAAUAGGUAGGUAUGGUGGCUGUUUUGAGGAAGAUAUAAGGAGGCUUAUGUGUGAUAGAGCGUAUGAUAUCACGGGGUUUGGAUGCACCGGCGAAGUUUGCACCAACUCUCAAGGUGAGAAAGGGCAAUGCACGGUACCGAAGAGGCUAGCAAUGAUGGGAGGGUGGGAGUGCGUAUAAUCCAUGGACUCAACAUUGGUCAUAAAGAACUCACAUACUUAUUGCAAAAAUCUACAAGUCAUCAAAACCAAGCACUACGCGCAUGCUCCUAGGGGAUAGAUUGGUAGGAAAAGACCAUCGCUCGUCCCCGACCGCCACUCAUAAGGAAAGCAAUCAAAGAAAACCUCAUGCUUAAAAUUUGUCACAUAAAGAAGUCACAUACUUAUUGCAAAAAUCUACAAGUCAUCAAAACCAAGCACUACGCGCAUGCUCCUAGGGGGAUAGAUUGGUAGGAAAAGACCAUUGCUCGUCCCUGACCGCCACACUCAUAAGGAAAGCAAUCAAAGAACACCACAUGCUUCAAAUUUGUCACACAAUGUUUACCAUACGUGCAUGCUAUGGGACUUGCCAACUUCAACACAAGUAUUCAUCAAUUUCACAAUUACUCAACUAGCACACCUCUAAUAUUACCACCUUAUAUCUCAAAACAACUAUCAAACAUCCAAGUUCUCUUAGCAUUUAAAAUUUAUAACCAAUGUGAAUUACCAUGCUGUUCUAAAAGACUCUCAAAAUGAUAUAAGUGAAGCAUGAGAGAUCAAUUAUUUCUAUACAAUAAAACCACCGUCGUGCUCUAAAAGAUAUAAGCGAAGUACCAGAGCAAAAAUUAUCCAACUCAAAAGAUAUAGGUGAAGAACAUAGAGUAUUCUAAUAAAUUCCAAUUCAUGCGUGUGUCUCCCAACAGGUGUGUACAACAAGGAUGAUUGUGGUAAUAUAAAAAGCAAAGACUCAAAUCAUACAAGGCGCUCCAAGCAAAACACAUAUCAUGUGGCGAAUAAAAAUAUAGCUCCAAGUAAAGUUACCGAUGGACGAAGACGAAAGAGGGGAUGCCUUUCGGGGCAUCCCCAAGCUUAGGCUUUUGGUUGUACUUGAAUUUUACCUUGGGGUGCUUUGGGAAUCCCCCAAGCUUAGGUUCUUUCCACUCCUUGUUCCAUAAUCUAUCAUAUCUUUACCCAAAACUUGAAAACUUCACAACACAAAACUUAAAAGAAAAUCUCGUGAGCUCCGUUAGUAAAAGAAAACAAACCACCACUUCAAGGUACUGUAAUGAACAAAUUAUUUAUUUAUAUUGGUGUUAAACCUACUGUAUUCCAACUUUUCUAUGGUUCAUAAACUCUAUUACUAGCCAUAGAUUCAUCAAAAUAAGCAAACAACACACGAAAAAUAGAAUCUGUCAAAAACAGAACAGUUUGUAGUAAUCUGUAGGUUUCGAAUAUUUCUGGAACCCCAAAAAUUCUAAAAUAUAUUUCUGGACGUGAGGAAUUUAUCUAUUAAUCAUAUUCAAAAAGAAUUAACUAAAUAUCACUCUCCAGUAAAAAAAUGGCAGCAAAUCUCGUGAGCGCUAAAAUUUCUGUUUUUUACAGCAAGAUCGCAAAGACUUUCCCCAAGUUUUCCCAAAGGUUCUACUUGGCACAAACACUAAUUAAAAGCAUAAAACCACAUCUAAACAGAGGCUAGAUGAAUUACUUAUAUUGAACAGAAUCAAAAAGCAAGAAACAAAAAUAAAAUUGGGUUGCCUCCCAACAAGCGCUAUCGUUUAAUGUCCCUAGCUAGGCAUAAAAGCAAGGAUAGAUCUAGGUUUUGCCAUGAUAGUGAUAAGGUAAAUCACAAAAACUCAUCUCAUACUCCCUACGUUCAGCAGCAAGCUUUCUUUGUGGUAAUAAAAAGUAAUCAAAAGGGCUAAAUUUAGUGGGACAAAAGUCUCCAAGAUCAAGCUCGGGAGGUAUUGUUUCCUCCUUUGGCCCCUCAUAUUGCACAACCAAUUCAUCAUUAUAAGCAUUCUUUUGGCAAAAAGUCAUGAGUAUUUGUUCAAGAGAAAAACCUUACCCAUUAUUCUGGAUAGCAAAAUUAUCAUUUAAUUCAUAGAUCCUAUCAACAAGAACAUCGGUAGGAACCUUUUUUCUAAGGUUUUCAUUAAAAGCAACAUGAUCUAAAGAUCGUAAACGCAUAAUGUCUUGUUGAUAAAAAAGGAUUGCUUAUAUGGGAGGACGGACGGCAUCCGCCCUAUAAUGCGCAAGAAUUUCAUUGGCCUCUUUUAUUAUAAAUCUGAACUCAUGAGCUAAAAAGAUGGUCGUUGCUCGCUUAACAGAAGAAUGCUCAAGAUUAGAAAAUUCUAGGAAAAUCCUUUGUAUGGAAGGAUGCAUAUAUAAAAAUUGUCUUUCAAGUUCAACUAUGAGCAAAGAUAUAGCAUCCGCGAGACUACUAGUUUUAUGAAGAAUAGAUCUGCUCAUGGUGGGCAAAGCACCGACACAAGUAAAGAAAUCUUGAAUAACUCCCUUCCCAAUAAUAUUACCGCUACCAAUCCGAAACCUUUUAGUGUGUAAAAUAGUAGAAUUUUCAAGAGGAUCAUCUAUAGCAUCAAAGUUUUCCAUAUUAUUAUCCUUAUCAACGAUAACCUCCCCAGUUUCAGACAUGAAGGCAACAAAUUGCAAAAAGAACGAGCACACAGAAGGCAGGAAGGAAAAAGAGGUGAACGGAAAAGAGGGCGAAGAAAACGGCAAGGGUGAAGUGGGGGAGAGGAAAACGAGAGGCAAAUGGAAAAUAAUGUAAUGCGAGGGAUAAGAGUUUGUGAUGGGUACUUGGUAUGUCUUGACUUGUGCGUAGACUCCCCGGCAACGGUGCUAGAAAUCCUUCUUGCUACCUCUUGAGCACUGUGUUGGUUUUCCCUUGAAGAGGAAAAGGUGAUGCAGCAAAGUCGCGUAAGUAUUUCCCUUAGUUUUUGAGAACCAAGGUAUCAAUCUAGUAGGAGGCAACAUGGAAGUCCCUCGUAUCUGCACAAACAAAUAAGAACCUCGCAACCACCGUGAUAAAGGGGUUGUCAAUCCCUUCAUGGUCACUUACAAGAGUGAGAUCUGAUUGAGAUAAUAAUGAUAAGAUAAAUAUUUUUGGUAUUUUUAUGAUAUAGAUUGAAAGUAAAGAUUGUAAAGUAAAAUAGAUUGGAAACUUAUAUGAUGGAAAAUAGACCCGUGGGCCAUAGGUUUCACUAGUGGCUUCUCUCAAGAUAGCAUAAGUAUUACGAUGGGUGGACGAAUUACUGUCGAGCAAUUGAUAGAAAAGCGAACAAUUAUGAGAAUAUCUAGGCAUGAUCAUGUAUAUAGGCAUCACAUCCGUGACAAAGUAGACCGACUCCUGCCUGCAUCUACUACUAUUACUCCACACAUCGACCGCUAUCCAGCAUGCAUCUAGAGUUUUAAGUUCAUAAGAACAGAGUAACGCAUUAGGUAAGAUGACAUGAUGUAGAGGGAUAAACUCAAGCAAUAUGAUAUAAACCCCAUCUUUUUAUCCUCGAUGGCACCAAUACAAUACGUGUCGUUUCCCUUUCGGUCACUGGGAUCGAGCACCACAAGAUUGAACCCAAAGCUAAGCACUUCUCCCAUUGCAAGAAAGAUCAAUCUAGUAGGCCAAACCAAACUGAUAAUUCAAAGAGACUUGCAAAGAUAACCAAUCAUGCAUAAAAGAUUUCAAAGAAGAAUCAAAUAUUGUUCAUAGAUAGACUUGAUCAUAAACCCACAAUUCAUCGGAUCUUGACAAACACACCGCAAAAAGAGUUACAUCAAAUAGAUCUCCAAGAAGAUCAAGGAGAACUUUGUAUUGAGAUCCAAAGAGAGAUAAGAAGCCAUCUAGCUAAUAACUAUGGACCCGAAGGUCUAAAGUAAACUACUCACACAUCAUCGGAGGGGCCAUGGAGUUGAUGUAGAGGCCCUCCAUGAUUGAUGCCCCCUCCGGCGGAGCUUUGGAAAAAGCCCCAAGAUGGGAUCUCUCGGGUACAGAUGGUUGCGGCGGUGGAAAUAGGGUUUCGUGGUGCUCCUGGAUGUUUUUCGGGUAUGUGAACAUAUAUAGGAGGAAGAAGUAGGUCGGUUGAGCCACGAGGGGGGAGGGCGCGCCUCCCUGCCUCGUGGACACCUCGUCCAUUGCUUGACGUCCACUCCAAGUCCUCUGGAUCACGUUUGUUCCAAAAAUCACGCUCUCGAAGGUUUCAUUCCGUUUGGACUCCAUUUGAUAUUCCUUUACUGCGAAACACUGAAAUAGGCAAAAAAACAACAAUUUGCACUGGGCCUUGGGUUAAUAGGUUAGUCCCAAAAAUAAUAUAAAAGUGUAAACUAAAGCCCAUUAACAUCCAAAACAGAUAAUAUAAUAGCAUGGAACAAUCAAAAAUUAUAGAUACGUUGGAGAUGUAUCAUGGGCCCAACGGGCAUCUGGCCCGCAUGUCAGUGACACACCGACUGCAGCUGCAGUUAAGUCCGGUGAAUGCGGCAUUGGCGUUCUGGAGAGAUAGUGACCGUUUCAGGCGGGAAGCGCGCGCUAGCGAUGGAAGGGGUUUCGGUAGGCCAGGGCAGUCAGAAGCUGGUGUGGUGGUAAAAUAUGAACUCAUGGAUGACGAGACUUUGAAGCGUAUGCGGCACGUAUUGACAACCAGGUGUCCAUGAAACCGCUCUUGUCGCCAGCUAGCCUUCGACGGCCACCAUUAAACAUCACACAACCAUGCAUAACUUAUGAAUAAUGGACGAAUCGAUCAGACACACACUUGUGUGAAGUGGCACUAUGAUCGAUCGCUCAUGAUAGUACAUACUCCGUACCAUAGUACCCUCUCUAGCUAGGCUGUUUUAUAGAUUGUCGUUGUGAUGGACGAUAUACAUGAGCAAGGCGCCGAGUCACGAGUAUGACCGUUGGUGUUGAGCCAGGUGAAUACAUGCUCGUUGUUCGCGGAGGCCUCCAGCAAACAUCUAAACAAUAAUGUCAGGCACCACCAGGGCGCACAGGUGACGGGCUCGCCGUUUGCAUUGCACCAUGAGCAGGACUUUGAUUGAGAGCGUGACGUGCAUGCAUUAGCAUGGUUUGACAGCAUGAGCAUGAGUGUCUGCACGCGUACAUGCUACUUGCCUCUAUGGAUGGUGUGCGCUAAUGUGCGCAUCACGUAUAAUAUAAAAAAAUCCAUUUGUGCAUUUAACGCAAAGUAUUUCAUUUUCAUUUGGCUGACGAGUGUGCGUUGUAGCGACGAGUCCAUGGUUUGAUUCCUCACAUACGCAUAAUUUUGGUUUUUAUUUCUUUCUCCACUAACAGGUAGGCCCGCAUAGAUAGAUAGAUAAAGAACACGAGCUGAUGAGGCGCAUGCGGAUUGUUUGACUGGUCAACCAGACAAAUACGGAGCUAUACACUGAGCCAGUGACCGUAUAAUCACCAUAUCUCGUAUACAAUGAUCAAAGUGAGCUAUCAAGACAAGUUCGAUGACCGCCAAUGCAUUUUACUUGAUAAUAAAUGACCAGGAUUGAAGGGGAAUCCAAAUUUCCUUCGUCUUCUAUCCUUGAGCUCUUGACAAACCAAUGCACUUGUCCGGCCACUCCACCCCAGAGCUGUCACCAAGCGUCGUUCAUGCCACUAGGCCGCACACUAACUGGUAAGGGAGCGAUGGCAUCCCGCCGCGUUGAGUACCUCACCGUCUACGAUCGCACAAAAAAUGGUAGGGAAGCGAUGGCAUCCCGCCAUGCCGAGUUCAUCGCCGCUCGCGACCUCACACCUAUGUGGGUGGAAUUUGAAGCUGCCAAGGCCGAAUGGGCGGUAGAGCAAGAGGCGGCCAAAGCCACACAGAGGAAGCGGAAAAGUCAGAAAGCACUCAAGAAAAUAGAGGCCCGCCGUCGCAAGAAAGAAGAGGACGCACUCACUGCUGCGGAGAGGUGGCGGAGAUCCAAGCACGGUUGGGUGUUGCUGACAAAGCCAGGAAGGAGAAUGACGGCGUCUGGCGAGCAUGUGAGAAGUAGUAGUACUAGUAGUAGUUAGUGUGUGUGUCUGUGUCGCUCGUAGGUUUGUUUAAUUAAUUACGAGCAUGUACCAAUACUAGUUACUACUGUAGUUUUUAGAGCAAAUUACCAGUACAUUAGCCUAGACUCAAUGGAAAAAUUCCUAUCAUAUGCAUCAAAUGGCAUCUCUUUCUCUAUAGGAAUUGAGAUGCAUGUCAUCUCACUUCCUAUGAUUUUCAUAUUCCUAUAAAAUUCCUAUCCUAUGAACCAAAGGAGGCCUCUGCUGGAGUAACUACUAUACUUAGCUAGCAGUACUGCUAGUACAGUAGUUUUCUUCAAGAAGCGGAAUUCAACGAAGUCAUGAUGGUUCCUUCGUCCGAGCAACUUCAUAGCGGGAAAGGUUGAGCUUGUGAUUUGAUGGCUCAUUAGUCAUUAUUACUGUGGAGCGACGGUCGGGGUGACUUUCCCUUGGAGUUCUGCGUGCAUGGCAAGUGGACCAGGAUGGUCGAUGUCCCACAUGUCGACGAACAAAAGUAUUCUUUCUGAUAUCGAGGAGCAAGGAAGCGUGCGCCGGCAAGGGAGGGGGGUUGGGUCGGCCAGGGCGGUCAGACGUGGGCGUGGUGGUGGUAUUGGUUUUGAACCGUUUCAGGUGUAGUACUGGUAGUUUGCAAAACUACUCAAUUAUUGCACUCAGUUUCCUAAGAAAUUGUGGUAAGAAACAUUACUCCACAGCCCGCUUCCCUUCUCCUUCCUCUUCCACCGCCCGCGCGCGUCCAUGGGAAGCGACCGGUCAACCCUUAUAUAGGAGUGCUAGCACAAAAAGAUGCAUGCAUGACCACUAAAAUUUCCAGAUUAAAGCGUCGCUCCGGCGAGAGUAUGGCGUAUGUCAUUACCUUCGGUCGGGCCAUGGCUACCGGGCGACGGCGACCGGAGAAGAGGCGACGAGAGGGGAAUGAAUGCAGCUACUGUUUGGGUUCGCUGUCCGGCUUAAAUAAAUGUGCACCAUCACGUGUACCUGCGGGUGCACAAAUUGUAACAUACGUGUCUGCUUAAGUGGGCGUCCCGUAACUGGUGUGUGUGAGAGAUUCUGAGAGACAAAGUGCGUGUGUGCGACUCUACUCUUAGGACAUGUACUCAACCUUUUGCAUCGGGAUAUAAAUAUAAUUGUAUUACACUUUAGCUACUGAUUUACGUGGCCAUGAUAACAUGGUUGUGUAAAAAAAUGUCACUUCGUGCUCAUGAUUUACGUUAUAUAAUUACUAGCAAGAUGCUCGUGCAUUGCACGGAAUAUCAAUAUGCAUUUUUUUACAAAACACCUGUUGUGAUUGACCCAUGCAGGAGUAAUCACAUGUGUAAAAACUAAUGAUAUCUUGAGAAUUUUAUCAGAAAACUGGUAUCUCGACCAUUUCAUCAAAAAAAGAAAGAUGAGAGAUAAGGUGAGGAGGAGUGGAGUGUGGUGGUGACUGGUGGUCGGACUGGGCGGAGACAUGGGGAUGGACGAUGCCGGCAGGCAGCAGUGGCCACCAUGCUAGAUUAUUCCAGAGACUUCCUUUUUUAAUUUAUCAGCAAUGAGAUUGUGGGAGUGAGGUGCGUGUAUCUUUUGUAAAAUUGUCAUAGUUUGCUUUCUAUCCGUGAGAUAUAGAUCGGACGGUCUAUAUUACAAGAUGAUAGGCACACCAUCAUCACCAACUCAGAUUUUUAUAUGAGUAGAGAUGAUAAGUUCGCUAACUACUAAAGUAGAGUGGAGUUUGUCCAUGUUAUAAAAGUAAAUUAAGGUGAUUGUUUAUCAUACGGGUAAGGUUGGACGAAGGGUGGUAGGAACAAAUGCUCCGCCUAGAGCAUGUGUGUGUGAGAUGGAGUCUUAGUGUGUGUGUGUGGGCGAGUGCGUGCAUGCAUGUGUGUGUGACGCGGGGUCCUUGGUGGCGGAUGUAAUUUAAGUGCGCGUGGCUUCAUCAUAGAGAGGUGAUGUGUAUGGCAGAGGCCACCAACGAGGGGGUGCGAGAGAGAAAAGGCCCGUAGAGAGGGAAGAGAAGGCAUGUGCGCGUGAGAGGAGUCGACAUCGAGAGAACGUGUUUGUUCGAGAGACACUGAGGAAGAGUACUAUAUAUCAAUGGUGCAUGUAGGCGGGAAUUAAAUGAAGGGAUGGUCUUAUUGGUUUCGGGGAUAUAGGGGAAGAGUGAGAGGGGGGUAGCUAGAAGGAGAUUGUUAAGUGUGAGUGAGGGAGUCCUGGAUUAGGGGGUCUCCGAACAGCCGGACUAUAUCCUCUGACCGGACUGUUGGACUAUGAAGAUACAAGAUUGAAGACUUUGUCUCGUGUCUGGAUGGGACUCUCCUUGGUGUGGAAGGCAAUCUAGGCAAUACGGAUAUGUAUAUCUCCUCCUUUGUAACCGACCUUGUGUAACCCUAGCCCCCUCCGGUGUCUAUAUAAACUGGAGGGUUUUAGUCCGUAGGACAACAUAAAAUCAUACCAUAGGCUAGCUUCUAGGGUUUAGCCUCUCCGAUCUCGUGGUAGAUCAACUCUUGUACUACUCAUAUUAUCAAGAAUAAUCAAGCAGGACGUAGGGUUUUACCUCCAUCAAGAGGGCCCGAACCUGGGUAAAACAUCGUGUCCCCUGCCUCCUGUUACCAUCCGCCUUAGACGCACAGUUUGGGACCCCCUACCCGAGAUCCACCGGUUUUGACAAGGACAUUGGUGCUUUCAUUGAGAGUUCCUCUGUGUCGUCACCGUUAGGCUUGAUGGCUCCUUCGAUCAUCGAUAGCGAUGCAGUCCAGGGUGAGACUUUUCUUCCCGGACAGAUCUUUGUAUUCGGCAGCUUCGCACUGCGGGCCAACUCGCUUGGCCGUCUGGAGCAGAUCGAGAGUUACGCCCCUGGCCACCAGGUCAGGUUUGGAAGCUUAAACUACACGGCCGACAUCCGCAGAGACUUGAUCUUCGACGGAUUCGAGCCCCUGCCGAGUGCGCCGCAUGGUCACGAUGAGCAUGAUUUAGCUCUGCCAUCAGAUAGUGUUCAGGAGACCGCACCGGCAACCGCUCUGACCCUCAAUUCAGAGCCAAUUGCGCCAUCCAUGGACGGGUAGGUAGACCCCGCCAUGGAGGCGGUAUUCUCAGUGGCGAUCGAGCCGAAUAUCGACCUUACCCUUCACGGGAGCCGUGACGCCGAACUACUGGAUUCUUCCUCGGCCACGGACUCCGAACCGCCUGCGCCCGUGCCUAUCGAAUCCAACUGGGCGCCGAUCAUGGAGUUCACCUCCGCGGAUAUCUUUCAGCACUCGCCCUUCGGCAACAUACUGAACUCAUUAAGGUCUCUCUCCUUGUCAGGAGAGUCCGGGCCGAACUAUGUUCGGCGGGAUUGGGAUGCGGAUGACAAAGAAAUUCGCCGCCCACCCACCGCCCACUUAGUAGCCACUGUUGACGAUUUGACCGACAUGCUCGACUUCGACUCCGAAGACAUCGACGGUAUGGACGAAGAUGCAGGAGACGAACAGGAACCACUGCCCACAGGGCACUGGACGCCCACUUCAUCAUAUGAUGUAUACAUGGUGGACACACCCAAACAAAACGACGAUGAGGAACAGAAGGACGCAGCGAAGGGUUGUUCCCUCGAGAAGCAGUCAAAGCGGCAGCGUAAGCGCCGCUCCAAAUCCCGCCUCGUCUUAAACAACGAUCAUAUAGACCCAGUGAUAGAGCAGGGUGAACCAUCGCCCGACCAGGGCAACACGGAGAAUCAAACCGAACAACCUGACCCCGUCGAAGAUAACAGUCCGGACGACAUCACACCGGACAGGCACCCAGAGCAACAGAAUGCCCAUCAAAGGCUGGUUGCCACCGCGAGGAGUCUGAAAAAGCAGAAGCAAAGGCUCAGGGCUGCACAAGACACACUCAGAAUCAGAUGGAGUGAAGUACUCAACACUGCAGCGAAGUACGGCGAUAAUCGCCACACCAAGAGCUACUCGAAGCGAAAGCUGCUACCUUAAUUCGAUGAGGAGGCCUUAGAUCCCCCGCAAUAAAAAAAUGGCCAUCCGGUCGGAUAGAUGACCUCGUGACCAACAUAGAGCGGCAAACGACGCCACACAUAAGCCAGUACGCGAUCCAUGCGAGGGCUCGCAUCAAAAGGAUGGCGCAACCAGAUCCAUAUACGGGCCACGCAAGCGCGCUCCAGCAUGCAAUGCAACACAACAAACAUCCGAACACCAUGGUACACCCAAAUACAGGGGUGCCGCACCCCCCCCCCCUAUGUUUCACCGAUGAGGUGCUGGACCAUGAAUUUCCAGAGUGAUUCAAACCGUAAACAUAGAGGCGUAUGACGGAACGACAGACCCUGGGGUCUAGAUUGAGGACUACAUCCUCCAUAUCCACAUGGCUCGAGGAGGCGAUCUCCAUGCCAUCAAGUACUUACCCCUCAAGCUCAAAGGGCCAGCUCGGCACUGGCUUAAAAGCCUCCCUGAAAACUCCAUUGGAAGCUGGGAAGAGCUUGAAGACGCCUUUCGGGCAAAUUUUCAAGGGACCUAUGUCCGACCACUGGAUGCAGACGAUUUAAGUCAUAUAACUCAAUAGCCCGGAGAGUCAGGCCGAAAGCUUUGGAACAGGUUCCUCACUAAAAAGAACCAAAUAGUCGAUUGUCUGGACGCCGAAGCCCUAGCAGUUUUCAAGCAUAGCAUUCGAGACGAAUGGCUUGCCAGACACCUCGGCCAAGAAAAGCCGAGAACAAUGGCAGCAUUAACAAGCCUCAUGACCCGCUUUUGCGCGAGCGGGGACAGCUAGUUAGCCCGGUGCGGCACCAGCGACCCAAGUACAUCCGAAGUCAGGGACGAAAAUGGGAAACCAUGACGCAGCAAAAACAAGCGCCGGAAUAAAGAAGACAACCGAAGAGCACGGCGGUAAACGCCGGAUUCAGAAGCUCUCGGCCAGGUCAGCAAAAGCUGCCCUCCAAAGGCAACACAGACGAACUGUCCAGCCUAAACAAGAUUCUAGACAAAAUAUGUCAGAUCCACAGCACCCCCGAUAAACCUGCAAAUCAUACCCAUAGAGAAUGUUGGGUCUUCAAGCAGUCCGGCAACCUCAACGCCGAACACAAGGGGCAGGAUACACCAAGCGAAGACGAGGACGAGCCUCGCAAGCAAAGCACUGGGGAACAGAAGAAAUUCCCACCAGAAGUCAAAACAGUAAACAUAUUACACGUGACAAAGGGGAGAAACAAAGCGGCACUCCUAGAGACACAUGCCCCAGGACCUAUCACCGUGGAGUUCUGCCACUGGUCGUCCCAACCGAUCACGUUCGACCAUCGGGAUUACUCAGCAAGUAUCCGGCGUGCAGGAUGGGCUGCCUUGGUGUUAGACCUGAUAAUUGAUGGAUACCACUUCGCACGAGUCCUGAUGGACGACGACAGUAGUUUAAACCUGAUAUAUUAGGACACAGUCCGCAAAAUGGGGUUAGACCCAAUAAAAAUUAGCCAUAGCAAUACUACCUUUAAAGGAGUAACGCCAGGCCCAGAAGCCCAUUGCACGGGCUCCCUGCUACUAGAGGUUAUAUUCAGCUUUCCCGAUAACUUCCGCAGCGAAAAUUUAACCUUCCACAUCGCUCCGUUCCAAAGCGGCCAUCAAGCACUACUCGGACGCGAAGCUUUCGCUCGCUUUAACGCAAUACCACAUUACGCUUCUCUCAUGCUUAAGAUGCCCGGUCCACGUUGCAUCAUUACAGUAAACGGAAAUAUUGAGCGCUCCUUGCGUGUAGAAGACCGUGCGGCUGUCUUGUCAGCUGCACACUAAACGGCCUCACCAACUAAAGCAUCUGACAGGUCGUUAAGACCAUGGACACGGUUGGACGAGUCCGGUACAGCUAUAUGUAAUUGACACAGGUUUGAUGGCUAUACCCCUAUUACAAUACAAGGGGCUCAACACGCGCAAACAAGUGGCAAUUAGGCUCAGCUUUACUCAUUUUGAACUAUAUAUUGUUUAUUUAGUAUAACUUACCUUUUGCACAGCAACUUUUCAAUUAAGUUCCUCUCUUUUUCAGAUGACCGUCGUGCUACACCCGUCCAGAAUACGACACAACGGAGACACAGGCGCAGACGUGCAGCAGGGACCCGUUCUAAGGAUUCUUUUUAGAUUAAGACCCUGCGUAAACCUUUUUUACUGUCUCUUGUUGAUACACAUCCCUCGGAUUCUCAAUACAAUUGAGAAGGAUGCUGACGUAUUGGCAUGUGGCCACGUCAGAAUAUCGCACGUACCUGGACACCAGGGGCUUAUUAUAAAGGGCACUGUUUAGGCCCGGUUUACAUCAUAAAGACCGAAUACCUUAGGGAGUGUUCGGCGUCGCGAGUUUGCCCUUAUAUGCAUCAGCUCCGAAUCAUGUCUUUGGUCAAAUGUUGGGUUUGCCUGGCUCCUGUGUUUUGCUGCCUUACGUUCCGCUCUAUCGGCUAAGGCGGCACCAGGAGAACUACUGCGAUUGUGCCCUGGUUCAUCCGGACGAGCACCUCAGUAGAGAAAGCCGAAAACUGACUGUCAUGAUAUAGCGUGAGACUGGUCAACCACUCGAUGACCUAGCAGAAUCUUCAGGAUUCCUCCGCUUUAACGAAGGGCCGUUUCCCAGCCAAGCAUGUACGCACCCCGAAUUCGGAUGAGUGCGGAGCCACCAGGGGCUAUAUAGUAGCCCCACUAUCAAACUCCUCUAGCUAAGUGAAAGUGUUAAAGCAUUAUAGUCCGGUUGCCUAGUUCGCUGCGCUAUCACCUCCUUAAUGGACCAAGACAUUGGAUCAAGUGUGAACAUGCGUCUUCUGCGAACACCUCCGCAUUAUAUGUGUGGGGGCUGAAGCCGACGACUGCAAUCUUUCAGGUUAUAUACAUAUAUACAUAAACGGCCGCACAGGAGGCGUCAUAGCACUUUUGGGCAAAAGUAUAAGUACAACAUUGAUAAAUUCAAUAAAACAUUGUUUUUACAAUGGGAAUACAUGUCACUCAAACAUAAUAUUCUUCGAGCACUAAGCCUCUAUUGAACGAGCGCGUUUAAGAACUUCUUCAAAGUAGUGCUUGGCAGCCACUCGGCCUAUGGCCGAACCCUGUGCCGCAACAGUGGUGGCAUCCAUCUCCGCCCAGUAUGUUUUGACACGGGCAAGGGCCAUCCGCGAGCCUUCUAUGCAUGCCGACCUCUUCACAGCAUCGAUGUGUGGCACAGCGCCAAGGAAUUGUUGCACUAAGCUAAAGUAGCUAUUCGGCCUUGGCCCUCCUGGCCACAAAUGAUCCACAACGGACCUCAUGGCCAGUUCGGAUAAUCUAUGGAGCUCGGCCCAACCGGUCAAUCGCUCAUUCAGCAGCAGCGGACAGAUUGGAGCAUGAAACUAUGAGCAGAAUAGCUUCUCCACUUCGGGACCUUUCUGAUCCUUGAAGUACUCGGCGACAUAAGCAGUGCUGGCAGCCAAAUCCAUGUAUGCGUCCGCAAAACUCCAUAGCCGGUCCAGAGGAGCAUACUUCGGAUCUCUGAACUUAGUCCGCAACAAGAAAGGCUUCCCAGACACGAUAUCUGCAGCCUGAUUCAGCUCCUCCUUCGUCGCUCUAAUUUUGGAGCGGGCUUCCUUGGCAGCCACCCAAGCCUUCUCCAGGUCCGUCGCUUUCGCCUGGUUUUCCUCUUCAAGAAGCCGGUAACAGUCACCAGCAUCUUUUAACUCCAUGGCCAUCUUGGCAAUUCUUUCUUUGCUCUCGCAAUGUGCGGCCUGCUCGGCCCUUAACUCUUCGACCGCCUGUAAAGCAGCCGCAUUGCUACUCCUGGCUUGCUCCUUGGCUCGAGCAAGCUCCGCCCGAAGGGUCUCCACGGUGGCCGCUCCAUCUGCAGUCACAAACAUAUUAAAGAUGCUGGCAUCAGGCCGCUCUUAUUAUGUGACAAUCGCCAGAAAAAUCACUGACCCUGCGCCUCGUCAAGCCGCUUGUUGACAAGCACGAUGUUGGCAUCUGCCGCAUCCAGCUGCCGCUUUAGUUCGGCAUACCCAUCAGUCCGGCUAGCCACCGGAGCCUCCACCAGCUGCACAUAAAGGUAGUCUGAUUAUUACCUGGGACUAUGAUCCUGUGUUUGCCGUUGUUUUCGACGACAACCAGAGUCUCAGGGGCUACUAUCUACACAGGGCACAUCUAAAAAUGUGUGGUACUUUCAAAAAUGUACAUCAUUUCACGUACCUCAAAACCCGUCAGUAGACUCAUAAAGGCUUCAUGCAGCCCGCUUUCAGCGGACGAAAUCCUUUCAAUCACUAUACCCAUAAAUGUGUAGUGCUCUUCUAAGAUAGCCGCUUUCUCCAGCAGAUCCCUCCGUAUGUCCGACCGCACACCAGAUGGUGCCAGACUCUUUUGAUUGCUCUCUUCGAGAGCCGGAUAUUGAGGACUUCGGGUGGCCAUAGGAUUACCUUCUGGCCUUGCCGGAUUAGGAGAAGCCCUCCGCGACGACACCUCAGGGUCGCCCGCUUCGUAAGGCGGUGUGGCAGGGGGAGGCGUUUCGCUCUCCAUCAUCUUCGGAAGAAGAUCCCCCGAAGACGAGCUCAGCUGAGAAGGGCUAAGAUCCGAACUGCAAGAUAAAUGCUUCGAUUAUUUUCCUCAGAAAUAGAGCAAGAUAUUUUCGUUAUUGAAUACCCUUUUACUUACAGCUCGGUAGAGGGCUGAUCCCCGCGCGGACAUUGUGCGGUAAGAGUACCCUCCGAGGCAGGUCCCUCUGGCAGAGAUUUCUUCUCCCGUUUGGAAACCUUAGUUUCCGGAUCUUCAGAGGUAGACCUCUUCCUUCCCCGGGGAGAGAGAAUGUCAGAUUCUUCACCUUGGUUAUCCUCCCUCGCGGAGGCGCUCAUUCCCUCGAGUGGGAUAGGUAGCGAUGGAGGCCCGCUUUCGCCCUCUUUAUCCCCCCUUCAUCUUCCUUUAAGGGCACUAGACAAGGUGCAGGCUCGAGCAUUUUUCCAGCACCGGAUUGUCCAAGCCUUCAGGAAGGGGGCCGAACAUCGGAUCAUCUUCACCUUUGUUAUCCAGUCCUGGUCAAAGAGCGAUUCUUCAGAAUGAUGUCAUGAUAAAUAAAAGGACAGUGUGUUCGGCCAUGGGAUUACUUACUUGGGCAGCGGUGCGGUUGCUGCUCAGGCCCACGUCCUCGGUAGUGUCCGGACAUUCUAUUUGGGGUCUGAAGAAUGAUUUGUACAUCUCCUCGUGCGUCAUGCCGAUGAAAUUCUGAAUGGUGCGCGGUCCUUCCGGGUUGAAUUCACACAUGCAAAGGGGCCGGCGUUUGCAAGGCUGGACUCGACGAACCAGCAUAACUUGCAUUACCAUAACCAGACUGAAAUCUCCCUCGAAGAGAUCUCGGAUACGGCUCUGCAGCAUUCGCACGUCCUUGGCUGGACCCCAGCUCAGACCCUGCUGAUCCAUGACAUCAGUUGUGGUGGAGGGCCCGAGCGAAAGGUGGGGGCAUCUACCCACUUGGCACUUCGGGGAGCUGUGACGUAAAACCACUCCCGUUGCCACAAUCCGAAUACCUCUGGAAAGGAACCCUUUGGCCAUGGAGCGUCAGCAAUUUUGCUUAUUAGAGCACCUCCGCACGCGGCUACUGCCCCUCGACUAUCUUCGGCUUCACAUCAAAGGUCUUGAGCCACAGGCCGAAGUGAGGGGUAAUGCGGAGGAAGGCCUCACAAACGACAAUAAAUGACGAGAUGUGAAGAAGGGAAUCUAGGGCCAUAUCAUGAAAAUCCAGCCCGUAAUAGAACAUGAGACCCCUGACAAAGGGAUCCAGAGCGAGGCCUAGUCCUCGGAGGAAGUGGGAGACGAACACAACGCUCUCGUUGGGUUCAGGAGUAGGGACGACCUGCCCUCGGGCGGGUAGCCUAUGCGAAAUUUCGGCGAUCAGAUAUCUGGCCUCCCUCAACUUCUUGAUGUCCUGCUCCGUGAUGGAGGAAGACAUCCACCAGCCUUCAAGGCUAGAUCCGGACAUGAUUGAAGGUCCGAAGCACCUGACAUUGGCUUUGGGUGUUAGAACUCCAGGUGGGGGAGGGAUUCGAUUGAGCACGGGAGGGAAAAAAGUAAAAGUUCUGUCCCUUUAUAAAGAGGGUGAAUAUCAAGCGUCCUCCUCGUGGCUGUUUGGGACUUGCCUAAGAUCUAGGAGUCCUAGGCACGGUUGGGUUACCAACGUCCGUAUUGAUGAGAAUCCCGUAGUAAGGGGAACACGAUCUCUGCUUUGACAAGACAUGUCAAGAAACUGCCUCGCGUUAUGUGCGGGGCUGGUUAAAGAAAAACAGUUCAAAUAAUUACUGGGCCGUGGCGUGAUGUCAUGCUGCCAAAACGUGUCAGCAGAUUAGAUUUGUGGUAAUAUUAUUCUCUCUACGGUGGUAUGUGGAACUUAUUUUGCAGGGUCGGACACUAUCCUUGUAUUCAAAUUCUUCAGUGGUGUAUUCGGAGGAGGAACCCGCCUUGCAAUGCCGAAGACAACACUGCGCGCCGGACUCAUCGUCAUUGAAGCCUGGUUCAGGGGCUACUAAGGGAGUCCUGGAUUAGGGGGUCUCCGGACAGCUGUAAUAUAUCCUCUGGCCGGACUAUUGGACUAUGAAGAUACAAGAUUGAAGACUUCGUCUCGUGUCUGGAUGGGACUCUUCUUGGCGUGGAAGGCAAGCUAGGCAAUACGGAUAUGUAUAUCUCCUCCUUUGUAACCAACCUUGUGUAACCCUAGCCCCCUCCGGUGUCUAUAUAAACUGGAGGGUUUUAGUCCGUAGGACAACAUACAAUCAUACCAUAGGCUAGCUUCUAGGGUUUAGCCUCUCCGAUCUCGUGGUAGAUCAACUCUUGUACUACUCAUAUUAUCAAGAAUAAUCAAGCAGGACGUAGGGUUUUACCUCCAUCAAGAGGGCCCGAACCUGGGUAAUACAUCAUGUCCCCUGCCUCCUGUUACCAUCCGCCUUAGACGCACAGUUUGGGACCCCCUACCCGAGAUCCGCCGUUUUUGACACCGACAGUGAGUGUGUGUUUUUCCCAUCCAGGCGGAAGUUAUGUGCACACAAGAAGAGAACGAUUUGAUGUGGCAUUAGGGCCAAGGGUAAUUAACUAUGUAUGAAGACAUAGGAGACCUUGAACGUGCAUGUGCGAGAGGUAUACAUGUAUAUGUGGGAUGUGUGUGUGCGCGCGUGCAUGAUCGAGAUAAAAGAAAGAAGACAUAAGUCAUAAGAUCAACGACUUGGGAGAGAUGGACCGGUAUGACAAUAUGCAUGCAUGUGAGAGUGCAGGGAAGAAGGCCCGAUAAUUGAGCAUGUGUUUUUGUCUUUAAGAGAUAUUGGCGUGGGUUCGAGCAUGCAUCUGUGGCGAGUAGAGGGAGCGAGACACAACGAUUGUGCAAAAGAGAUCAACAUAUAAAUGCAUGUAUGGAGAGAGAUAUAUAGUAUGGGUGAUAGGAAGCAAGAGUACGUGCAAGAAAGAAAUGUUGAUGGAUAAACUACAGAUAGAUACAGAGAUAGAAAUGCUAGCUAGAGGGACAUCAGCUAGUUUGAGUGUUGGAGAUGACCGCCGGGUGGUUCAGAGGGUGAAGUUAUGUGUGUGUGACAGAAAGAUAAAAAGAGGGCACAUGACUGCAUGUAUAGAGAGAAAACAUAUAUAGUGUGCAUGAUAGGAAGCAAGAGUGAGGGUGAGAAAGAAGGUUGAUGGAGAAACAGAUAAAUAGAAAGAUAAAGAUGCUAGCUAGUGUGCGCUAGAGAUAGGAGUCGAGUGGAUCAGAAGGCUGAGUUAUGUGUGUGGGUGUGAGAGAGAUAGAGAGAGGGUGCAUGUGAGUCACAUACAAACAAAUAUCAGAGAGAAAUGAGAUCCCGAGAGACGGAGUUUUGUGUCUGCGAGAGAGAAAGAUAUUUCACAACGAGAGUGAUAGCUAGAGAGACAUAUGAGGGAACGCAAGAUAUCUCUAGGGAGAGAGUGUGUGUGUGUGUGUGCGACAUACAAGAGAAUGGUGGAGAGACAUGAGACCCUGGGAGACAGAGUUUGUGUUUGUGUGUGAGAAAGAGAUAUUUAAGAGGAAGAGUCGUAGCUUCUCAUACCUAAGGAGAGAAAGACAUAUCUGUGUGAGAGGGGGUGUGCGAGUGGCACACAGGGGAAUAGUAGAGAGAAAUGAGACCCCGGGAGACGAAGUUUGUGUUUGUGUGAGAGAAAGAGAUUUCACAUGGAGAAUCAUAGUUAGAGACACAUAGCAGGGAGCGAGAUAUACUUAGAGAGAGAGAUGGAGUGAUGAAGGUCGAGGGAGAGAGUACUGUCAGUGUGUUACGAAGAUAAAAGAUCAUUGUUGACAUACAAGUAGCACAAGAGAUACCCGAGAGACGAUGAGAGAUACUCCUAUAUAAUCAUGAGUGAUAGCUAUAUGAGACGAAUAUCUGGUUUAAAGGGGAUUCAAAUAUUUAAACUGGAGAUCACGACAUUGAUAAUAUCAUAACACAAAUUGGUGUAUCAAACAUGCAUAUUCAUUUGAAUUUGGGAACGCGUGUAAUGUUAUAUAGUUUGUCAAUAAUAGUGUUCCAUAGAUUCUUUAAUUAGAGAUAAUGCAUGGUUUAUAUGCAAUUAAUGUCUAAACAGGAUUACACUAUAUGUUGCGUGUGUGAAACACAUUAUACAUGUUUGAGAAGUAAAAAAACCCGCAAGAAACACACAUUAAUUGGAGACAGUUAGCGAGGAAUGCAUACAUUGGAUUUCAACAAAAGGUGGUUUCAAAUAUUUGAAAAUCCAAAUUAAGAUGUAUACAACCUUAUGAAUCUGAGAUCAUGCCAUUUGUAAACCAUAUUUAUGUAUAAAGGGUGUUGUGAAUACGUUCGACUACAUCAACCGCGUUAACCUAAUGCUUCCGCUUUCGGUCUACGAGGGUACGUGGACACACUCUCCCCUUCUCGUUGCUAUGCGUCUCCUAGAUAGAUCUUGUGCGAUCAUAGGAAAAUAUUUGAAAUUGCAUGCUACGUUCCCCAACACCAGGCAUGCAGUAGGCACCCGAGGGCAUGUGUGUGGGUGCGGGUGGACGCGCGAGCAUGUGCAUGUGUGGCCUCAACGUGGUCGGGACAUGCAUGGAACAAGCUCAUCGAACUCUCAGCCAUGGUGGCCCAGCUCUAUCUUGAGCGGACUCGUGGUUAUGGAGAUGGGAAAGAAAGGGGUAAGAUGUAAGCUUGUUGCGGGGAGCUUGAUGGCAAGGUCCGGGAAGCCGGGGAGGUAUGAGGCGGUGGCGACGUAGCUCGGGGCGGCUGCCAGAGGUUGGGCUAGUUCGGGAGAGUGGUUGAGGAAGAGAGACUUGAGAUUCUUAUCCAACUACUUUGUGGCAUCAUCGCGGAGUCGGGGAAGAGGUCUGGGGUGCCAAAUAUCGACGGGCGGUGACAAAUCCGAGCGUUGCCUCCGACAACCGAGGGCCAGUCGCAUCGGGCGGCACCCACGGCUAUGUAGCAUCAUGCGUCUACAGUCGGGCGAGGGAGAGGCGAAGGGAGGAAAAUGAGAGAGAAGCAGACACCGGUUGGGCAGCAAGUCACAGAUGAGGCCCUCCAAUGGCUGGGCGAAACCGACGCGAGGUCACCAUUGCAAGAAGCGCGAUGAUGAUGCAAAUGUCUCAUGGUCAUGUUAGUUUUUCUACAACAUCUUGGUUUGGUUAUGAAGGAAAUAUGCCCUAGAGGCAAUAAUAAAGUUGUUAUUUUAUAUUUCCUUAUAUCAUGAUAAAUGUUUAUUAUUCAUGCUAGAAUUGUAUUAACCAGAAACUUGAUACAUGUGUGGAUACAUAGACAAAACAUCGUGUCCCUAGUAAGCCUCUACUAGACUAGCUCGUUAAUCAAAGAUGGUUAAGUUUCCUAACCAUAGAUAUGUGUUGUCAUUUGAUGAACGGAAUCACAUCAUUAGGAGAAUGAUGUGAUGGACAAGACCCAUUCGUUAGCUUAGCAUAAUGAUCAUUAAGUUUUAUUGCUAUUGCUUUCUUCAUGACUUAUACAUAUUCCUCAGACUAUGAGAUUAUGCAACUCCCGAAUACCGUAGGAACACCUUGUGUGCUAUCAAACAUCACAACGUAAGUAGGUGAUUAUAAAGAUGCUCUACAGGUGUCUUCGAAGGUGUUUAUUGGGUUGACAUAGAUCAAGAUUAGGAUUUGUCACUCCGAGUAUCGGAGAGGUAUCUCUAGGCCCUCUCGGUAAUGCACAUCACUAUAAGCCUUGCAAGCAAUGUAACUAAUGAGUUAGUUGUGGGAUGAUGCGUUAUAGAACGAGUAAAGAGACUUGUCGGUAACGAGAUUGAACUAGGUAUGAUGAUACCGACGAUCGAAUCUCGGGCAAGUAACAUACCGAUGACAAAGGGAAUAACAUAUGUUGUUAUUGCGGUUUGACCGAUAAAGAUCUUCGUAGAAUAUGUAGGAACCAAUAUGAGCAUCCAGGUUCUGCUAUUGGUUAUUGACCGGAGAUGUGUCUCGGCCAUGUCUACAUAGUUCUCGAACCCGUAGUGUCCGCAUGCUUAACGUUUGAUGAUGAUUUGUAUUUAUGAGUUAUGGGUUUUGGUGACCGAAGUUUGUUUGGAGUCCCAGAUGAAAUCACGGACAUGACGAGGAGUCUUGAAAGGUCUAGAGUUAAAGAUUGAUAUAUUGGAAGGUAGUAUUCGGACACCGGAAGGGUUCCGGAGUGUAUCGGGUACAUAGCGGAGUACCGGAGGGGUUACCGGAACCCCCCGGGGGAAGAUAUGGGCCAUAUGGACCAUAGGAGGGAGGCUAACCAACCCACAAGGGGCUGGUGCACCCCCCACAAGGGAGGAGGUUGAAUUGGUUUAGGGAAGGCCCCCCCCCCCUUUCCUUCUCCUACUCCCUCUCCUUCCCCCUUUUCCACCUCCAUGAGAAGGAAAAGAAGGGGGGGCGAAUCCUACUAGGACUAGGAGUCCUAGUAGGACUCCCCCCUUGGAGCGCCCCCUCUAGGUCGGCCUCCUCCUCCUCCCCUCUGAUACGUCUCCAACGUAUCUAUAUUUUUUUAUUGUUACAUGCUAUUAUAUUAUCAACCUUGGAUGUUUUAUAUGCAUUUAUAUGCUAUUUUAUAUGAUUUUUGGGACUGACCUAUUAACCUAGAGCCCAGUGCCAGUUUCUGUUUUUUCCUUGUUUUAGAGUAUCACAGAAAAGGAAAAUCAAACGGAGUCCAAUUGACCUGAAACUUCACGGAACUCAUUUUUGGACCAUAAGAAGCCCACGAAGUAUCGGAGAUGGACCAGGAGAGUCCCGGGCUGCCCAACCCCCUGGGCGCGCGCCCUGCCUCGUGGACAGCCCGGAGGUCCACCGACGUACUUCUUCCUCCCAUAUAUACCCAUAUACCCUAAAAACUUCGGGGAGCACAAUAGAUCGGGAGUUCGCUGCCAAAAGCCUCCGUAGCCACCGAAAACCAAUCUAGACCCGUUCCGGCACCCUGCCGGAGGGGGAAUCCCUCUCCGGUGGCCAUCUUCAUCAUCUCGGCACUCUCCAUGACGAGGAGGGAGUAGUUCUCCCUCGAGGCUGAGGGUAUGUACCAGUAGCUAUGUGUUUGAUCUCUCCCUCUCUCUCGUGUUCUUGAGGUGGUUGAUACGUCCAUUUUGCAUCAUGCUUUUAUAUCGAUAUUUUUUGCAUUAUGGGUUGUUAUUUCACAUUAUGUCACAAUACUUAUGGCUAUUCUCUCUUAUUUUACAAAGUUUACAUAAGGAGGGAGAAUGCCAGCAGCUGGAAUUCUGGGCUGGAAAAGGAGCAAAUAUUAUAGACCUAUUAUGCACAACUCCAAAAGUCCUGAAACUCCACGGAAUACCUUAUAAUAAAUAAUGAAAAAUCCUUGCCAAAGAUAAAGACCAGGGGGCUCACACCCUUCUCACGAGGGUGGGGGCGCCCCCCCUAGGGCGCGCCCCCCUACCUCGUGGGCCCCCUGGUGGCUCUCCGAUGACCAUCUUCUCCUAUAUGAAGUCUUUCGUCGGAAAAAAAAUAAGAAGCAACCUUUCGGGACGAAACUGCGUCGCCACGAGGCGGAACCUUGGUGGAUCCAAUCUAGAGCUCCGGCAGAGCUGUUCUGCCGGGGAAACUUCCCUCCCAGAGGGGGAAAUCAUCACCAUCGUCAUCACCAACGCUCCUCUCAUUGGGAGAGGGAAAUCUCCAUCAACAACUUCAUCAGCACCAUCUCAUCUCAAAACCCUAGUUCAUCUCUUGUAUCCAAUUCUUGUCUCCAAGUCCGGGAUUGGUGCUAGUAGUGUUAAUUACUCCUUAGAGUUGAUGCUAGUUGGUUUAAUUAGUGGAAGAUCAUAUGUUCAGAUUCUUUAUGCAUAUUAUUACCCCUCUGAUUAUGAACAUGAAUAUGCUUUGUGAGUAGUUACGUUUGUUCCUAAGGACAAGGGAGAAGUCUUGCUAUUAGUAGUCAUGUGAAUUUGGUAUUCGUUCGAUAUUUUGAUGAGAUGUAUGUUGUCUAGCCUCUAGUGGUGUUAUGUGAACGUCGACUGCAUAACACUUCACCAUUAUUUGGGCCUAGAGGAAGGCAUUGGGAAGUAAUAAGUAGAUGAUGGGUUGCUAGAGUGACAGAAGCUUAAACCCUAGUUUAUGCAUUGCUUCGUAAGGGGCUGAUUUGGAUCCAUAUGUUUCAUGCUAUGGUUAGGUUUACCUUAAUACUUUUGUUGUAUUUGUGGAUGCUUGCAAUAGAGGUUAAUCAUAAAUGGGAUGCUUGUUCAAGUAAGAAUAGCACCCAAGCACCGGUCCACCCACAUGUCAAAUUAUCAAAGUACCGAACGCGAAUCAUAUGAGCGUGAUGAAAACUAGCUUGACGAUAUUCCCAUGUGUCCUCGGGAGCGCUUUUCCUUAUAUAAGAGUUUUUCCAGGCUUGUCCUUUGCUACAAAAAGGAUUAGGCCACCUUGCUGCACUUUAUUUACUUUUGUUACUUGUUGCUCGUUACAAAUUAUCUCACCACAAAACUAUCUGUUACCACUUAUUUCAAUACUUGCAGAGAAUACCUUGAUGAAAACCGUUUAUCAUUUCCUUCUGCUCCUCAUUGGGUUCUACACUCUUACUUAUCGAAAGGACUACGAUAGAUCCCCUAUACUUGUGGGUCAUCAGUGGUACGAUCUUGAUGUAUCGCAAGCUUUGCUAUUAUAGUUGGAUCUUAUGAUGUUUCUCCCCCUCUACUCUCUUGUAAUGGAUUGAGUUUUCCCUUUGAAGUUAUCUUAUCGGAUUGAGUCUUUAAGGAUUUGAGAACACUUGAUGUAUGUCUUGUGUGGGAUAACCGUGGUGAAAAUGGGUUAUUCUAUUGAUUCACUUGAUGUAUGUUUUGGUGAUCAACUUGUGGGUUCCGUGACCUUGGGAACCUAUGCAUAGGGGUUGGCACACGUUUUCGUCUUGACUCUCCAGUAGAAACUUUGGGGCACUCUUUGAAGUACUUUUGUGUUGGUUGAAUAGAUGAAUCUGAGAUUGUGUGAUGCAUAUCGUAUAAUCAUACCCACGGAUACUUGAGGUGACAAUUGAGUAUCUAGGUGACAUUAGGGUUCUGGUUUAUUUGUGUCUUAAGGUGUUAUUCUAGUAUGAACUCUAUGAUAGAUUGAAUGGAAAGAAUAGCUUCGUGUUAUGUUACUACGAACUCUUGAAUAGAUCGAUCAGAAAGGAUAACUUUGAGGUGGUUUUGUACCCUACCAUAAUCUCUUCGUUUGUUCUCUGCUACUAGUGACUUUGGAGUGACUCUUUGUUGCAUGUUGAGGGAUAGUUAUAUGAUCCAAUUAUGUUAUUAUUGUUGAGAGAACUUGCACUAGUGAAAGUAUGAACCCUAGGCCUAGUUUAUGCUCACUUUUAUCCUUAGUUACCUUGCUGUUUUUAUAAUUUCAGAUUACAAAAACCAUUAUCUACUAUCCAUAUUGCACUUGUAUCACCAGCUCUUCGCCGAACUAGUGCACCGAUAUAAUUUACCAUUGUAUUGGAUGUGUUGGGGACACAAGAGACUCUUUGUUAUUUGGUUGCAGGGUUGCUUGAGAGAGACCAUCUUCAUCCUACGCCUCCCAUGGAUUGAUAAACCUUAGGUCAUCCACUUGAGGGAAAUUUGCUACUAUCCUACAAACCUCUGCACUUGGAGGCCCAACAAUGUCUACAAGAAGAAGGUUGUGUAGUAGACAUCAAGCUCUUUUCUGGCGUCGUUGCCGGGGAGGUUAGUGCUUGAAGGUAUAUCUUUAGAUCUUGCAAUCGAAUCUUUUUGUUUCUUAUUUUAUCACUAGUUUACUUUAUAAAAGGAAAUUACAAAAAAUGGAAUUAAGUUUACCUCAUACGCUUCAUCUUUUUAAUAUCUUUCGUGAGUAUGAUGGGAAGGAAAAUUGUGCCAAAAUGUUAGAAGAAGAAUGCAUUAGAAUGUUUGGCACUAAAUAUUUUAAUGUUGAGCAUGAUUGCAAUGUUGUUAGUAUGAAUUCCUUGAAUAUCCAUGAUGCUAAUGAUAUGCAAAGCCAUAAGCUUGGGGAUGCUACGUUUGAUGAAGAUGAUAUUUUUAGUCCCCCAAGUUUUGAUGUGCAAAUUUAUUAUGAUGAGAGCAUGCCCGCUAUCUAUGAUGAUUAUUGUGAUGACUUGUAUGCUGUAAAGAAUAAUGAUAUCCAUGAAACUUGUCAUCAUGAUUUUAACUUUCAAUUGGAUUAUGCCUCACAUGAUAGUUAUUUUGUUGAGUUUGCUCCCACUACUAUUCAUGAGAAGAAAUUUGCUUAUGUGGAGAGUAAUAAAAAUUCUAUGCUUGUAGAUCAUGAAAAGAAUGCUUUAGGUGCUGGUUAUAUUGUUGAAUUCAUUCAUGAUGCUACUGAAAAUUAUUAUGAGGGAGGAACAUAUGCUUGUAGGAAUUGCAAUAAUAUCAAGUUUCCCCUCUAUGUGCUUAAAAUUUUAAAGUUAUGCUUGUUUUACCUUCCUAUGCAAGUUGGUUAUUGUUCCCAUAAGUUGUUUACUCACAAAAUGCAUAUGAAUAGGAAGUGGGUUAGACUUAAAUGUGCUAGUCAUAUUCUUCAUGAUGCUCUCUUUAUGUUUCAAUUCUUACCCUUUAUGUGAGCAUCAUUGAAAUCAUCAUGCCUAGCUAGGGGCGUUAAACAUUAGCGCUUGUUGGGAGGCAACCCAAUUUUUAUUUUUGUUCCUUGCUUUUUGUUCCUGUUUAGUAAUAAAUUAAUCAUCUAUCCUCUAUUAUGACUGAUUUUUUAUGUUUUAAUUAGUGUUUGUGCCAAGUAGAACCGUUGGGAAGACUUGGGGAAAGUCUUUGCGAUCAUGCUGUAAAAAACAGAAACUUUAGUGCUCACGAGAAUUGCUGCCAUUUUUUAUUGGAGAGUGCUAUCUAGUUAAUUUGGCAGAUGAUUAAUAGAUAAAUUCCUCACGUAUAGAAAUUUAUUUUAGAAUUUUUGGGGUUCAAAAAGUUUGCGUUAGUUACAUAUUACUACAGACUGUUCUGUUUUUGACAGAUUCUGUUUUCAUAUGUUGUUUACUUAUUUUGAUGAAUCCUUGGCUAGUAAAAGAGUUUAUAAACCAUAGAGAAGUUGGAAUACAGUAAUACUGCUUACCAUCAAUGUCUUAUUUUGAUUCGGUGCUAUUGUUAGAUGAAGCGGCUCGGACCAACAUUACAUGACCACGUUCAUGAGACCGGUUCUACCGACGUGCUUUUGCACACAGGUGGCUGGCGGUUGUCUGUUUCUUCAACUUUAGUUGAAUCGAAUUUGACUACGGCCGGUCCUUGUUGAAGGUUAAAAUAGAACACUUGACGAAAAAUCAUUGUGGUUUUGAUGCGUAGGUAAGAACGGUGCUUUCUAGAAGCCCGUAGCAGCCACGUAAAACUUGCAGCAACAAAGUAGAGGACGUCUAACUUGUUUUCGCAGGGCAUGUUGUGAUGUGAUAUGGUCAAGACGUGAUGCGAUUUAAAUUGUUGUAUGAGAUAAUCAUGUUUUGUAAAAGUUAUCGGCAACUGGCAGGAGCCUUAUGGUUGUCGCUUUAUUAUAUGAAAUGCAAUCGCUAUAUAAUUGCUUUACUUUAUCACUAAGCGGUAGCAGUCGUAGAAGCAAUAGUUGGCGAGGCGACAACGACGCUACGAUGGAGAUCAAGGUGUCAAGCCGGUGACGAUGGAGAUCAUGACGGUGCUUUGGAGAUGGAGAUCAAAGGCACAAGAUGAUGAUGGCCAUAUCAUCUCACAUAUUUUGAUUGCAUGUGAUGUUUAUCUUUUAUGCAUCUUAUUUUGCUCAGUACGGCGGUAGCAUUAUAAGAUGAUCCCUCACUAAAAUUUCAAGGUAUAAGUGUUCUCCCUGAGUAUGCACCAUUGCGACAGUUCAUCGUGCCGAGACACCACGUGAUGAUCGGGUGUGAUAAGUUCUACGUUCACAUACAACGGGUGCAAGACAGUUUUGCAUGUGCGGAAUACUCGGGUUAAACUUGAUGAGUGUCGGUGUCAAAACCGGCGGAUCUCGGGUAGGGGGUCCCGAACUGUGUGUCUAAGGCGGAUGGUAACAGGAGGUAGGGGACACGAUGUUUUACCCAUGUUCGGGCCCUCUUGAUGGAGGUAAAAACCUGGGCCCUCUUGAUGGAGGUAAAACCCUACGUCCUGCUUGAUUAUUCUUGAUAAUAUGAGUAGUACAAGAGUUGAUCUACCACGAGAUCGGAGAGGCUAAACCCUAGAAGCUAGCCUAUGGUAUGAUUGUAUGUUGUCCUACAGACUAAAACCCUCCGGUUUAUAUAGACACCGGAGGGGGUUAGGGUUACACAAGGUCGGUUACAAAGGAGGAGAUAUACAUAUCCGUAUUGCCUAGCUUGCCUUCCACGCCAAGGAGAGUCCCAUUCGGACAUAGGACGAAGUCUUCAAUUUGUAUCUUCAUAGUCCAAUAGUCCGGCCAAAGGAUAUAGUCCGGCUGUCCGGAGACCCCCUAAUCCAGGACUCCCUCAGUAGCCCCUGAACCAGGCUUCAAUGACGAUGAGUCCGGCGCGCAGUGUUGUCUUCGGCAUUGCAAGGCGGGUUCCUCCUCCGAAUACACCAUGAAAGAAUUUGAAUAUAAGGAUAGUGUCCGACCCUGCAAAAUAAGUUCCACAUACCACCGUAGAGAGAAUAAUAUUACCACAAAUCUAAUCUGCUGACACGUUUUGGCAGCAUGACAUCACGCCACGGCCCGAUAAUCAUUUAAACUGUUUUUCUUUAACCAGCCCCACACAUAACGCGAGGCGGUUUCUCGACAUGUCUUGUCAAAGCAGAGAUCGUGUUCCCCUUAUUACGGGAUUCUCAUCAAACGGACGUGGGUAACCCAACCGCGCCAUCAAUUAUGGCGCUUGGGGGAUAAGCGAGUUUUACCAGGCUAGUGGGGGCGCAUAGUUUAGUCCGCCCUUAUAAAGGGAUAAGAUCUCACCCUUUUCUAUCCACGCCUUCUUCCUCCUUGCUCAUCCAUUCUCGUGCACUCGAGCUCCAGCGCCCAAGUCCGCAUCCUUCUCCCUAACUCUCUCCAAACAUGUCCGAAGCGGGAGGCAAGUGGAUGGCCUCCUCCGUCACGGAGGGGCACAUCAAAAAACUGCGUGGAGCCGGAUACUUAGCCGCGGAUAUCGCGCACCGGCUACCUGCCGUGGGGCAGAUCGUCCCUACCCCGAAACCUCAUGAAAGGGUGGUUUUCCUCCCCCACUUCGUCCGCAGACUGGGGUUUCCCCUCCAUCCAUUCGUCUGCGGCCUCAUGCUCUAUUACGGGCUGGACUUUCAUGAUCUGGCUCUAAAUUUCAUCCUCAACAUCUCGGCAUUCAUCGUUGUGUGUGAGGCUUUCCUCCGCAUCCGGCCCCACUUCGGCCUAUGGCUAAAGACCUUCAAUAUCAAGCCGAAGGUAGUAGGUGGACAACAAGCAGAAUGGGGCGGAGCCAUGGUGGGCAAAAUUCCCAACGUUACCUGGCUCGAGGGCUCCUUCGUGGAGACCGUAAAGGGGUGGCAAUCGGGGUGGUUCUACGUCACCGAGUCGCGCGACACCAACUGGGUAGCGGCCCCCGAGUUUCGAUCCGGAAUCCCCACACGGCUCACUUCCUGGAAGGAGAAGGGCCUGUCUUGGGGUUCAUCGAUGGAGCUAGACGGACUCCAGAAGUGUAUCCGGAACAUGACAAGCAAGAAACUUAAGCUUGUCAACAUAGUCCAGGUCAUGCUCUUUCACCGGAUCCUCCCGUGUCAACAACGAGAUUUCAACUUAUGGGAGUUCGACCCGGCCCAACACCAGACUCUAAGCGAGCUCUUCGACACGAUGCAUAAGGAUGUCUGGAAGGUGCUGUUCAAGGGCGUCGAGGUCCCUCCUUCUCUUACCGAGGACCGUGGGCUAAGCGUGAAGCGCCCUGCGAAUCCGGUAAGUUCUGUACAUCUGGUAGGAUAUUUAUUUCCCAUAGCUUAACCAUGUGCGGGGUCUGAGUUCCCACGCCUUUGAUAGGACUGGGUGGAGACAUCGGAGCAGAUUAACUGUCCGGCCCCUCCGCCCGAAGACCCCGCAGACGCUCUUCUGAUGAAGAUGCAGACUCCGGCUCCUUAUGAUGUGCUGGAUAAGACCAAGAAGAAGGCCAAGGGAACCCGAAAGAGUUCCCGGCGCCAUGUGGUAUUGGACUCAUCAUCCGAUAACUCCGAGACACACUCCUCCCAUGAAAACAAGGAGAAGGAAGACGAAGACUCUCCCCCUCCAGCCGAGGGAGACAAGAAAAGGAAGGCCGCCCCAACCGGGGAGGCCGAAGGGUCCAAGAAGGGAAGGACUCUCCUUCCGGACUGUUCCACCGCCCCCGCCAACGGCGAAGACGAGUGGCUGCUCAGGGCCAAGCCCCUGGCGAAGUCGUAAGUAUUCGGAUACCAGAGUAACUCAUAGCAUACUUUUGUUGCACUGCUUCUCCUAACGUCAAACAUGGUUAUGCAGUCUGCCCCAAGCCCGUAUCGACAUAUCAUCGUCGGACGGUUCCUUGGGCUCGUCAUACAUGGAUAGUGAUACACUUCCAACCGCCACCUCUCCUUGCCCUACGGACAAUGCCGAGGUACUGUCUCAAGGGGCACCGAGCCGGGGGGAGACAGUCCCGGAGGCGCCUCAAGGCGACCUUCCGGACUCCAGGAGCAAAGGAAGCAAGGCUCCCAGGGGCUCCAAGUUCGGCCCGCAGCCGGACACUACGCCGGAACCUUCAGUGGUUCCGGACUCGGGCAGGCGGCCCCCUUCCAAGAGGGGCAAGCCGUCCGUGCCGGUGGCCUAUGUCCAUCCAGAGGCACCGGACGAACUGCUGGGAGCUCUUAGCGGCGCUUCCAUCGACGAAGAGCACCACACUAUUAUGAGUGCGGUGAUCAAGAAGGUUCAGUCCGCCAAGAGCGGACUGACUGAAGCCUGUACCAGCCUUCUAACAGGCUUUGAGGUAAGUAUUUAAAAUAUAAGAAAAAUAAUACCGCAUAUACAGUAGCCCCUGAUGCUCUGUUUGGUGUUCACAAAGAAAAGCCGAAUAGAGGAUCGAAUAAUAUCUGAGGAGUCUAAUAUAAGUAUGUUUGUAUGCGUAUGCAGGCUUCGCUGCUGACCUCUGCCGCACUGACUGUGGAGGUCGCCGCACUGAAGCAGGACCUCGAGGGGUCCGAGAAAGAGCUCGGCCUUGCCAAGAGGCAGCUCGAGGAGAACAAAGGUAAGUAAUACCUUGUCUAUAUAAAAAAGAAAAUGUGGUUGCGAAAUGACAGGAUCAUCAUGAAUGUGCCAGGGGCCACGACCGUAGUGGCGACCCUGAAGCAAGCGUUGUUCGAGGCCGAGAACAAAGCGGCCAAGAAGCACACCGAGCGGGAAAAACAAGAGGCACGGGUGGGCAAGGUGCAACAAGAGCUCCAGGCUCUCGUGAAAAAGCACGAGGCUUUGGAGCUUGACUCGAAGACGCGAGAGUCCGUGCUUGCCGUGGCCCUCGAGAGCGCAGAGCAUGCCAAGGCCGAAGCCCAAAAGGCCCUCCAGGAGAUUGAGGCGAUGAGGAAGAUAGCGGCGGGUAAGGCAUUCAAUAUGCAAAGCAAGCAUGUGAAAGUAAAUUACUUGUUACUUACCCGAGUCCGGAGCUCUCCAGGAGCAUUCGCAGAUUUGCCCCGCAGCGUGUCGGAUGCCACGAAGUAUUACCAGGACGAGGAGGGAAGCUCGACGGAGAAGUUGUUCUGGUCUCAGUAUACUGGGACCAAACACCCGAUGCCUAUGAGCGACCAGCUGAAGCAACUGGUCGAGCUGCACAAGGCGGGCGAACAGGCCAUGAGGGGCCUUAUAGUCCGGAUGUGGCCUGGCGACUCCCUUCCCAACAGCUACUUCGUCCUGGUGAGGCGGCUUGUGGAUGCCUGCCCACGGCUGGAAGUCAUAAAGCGGUCCGUCUGCACCGAAGGUGCACGCCGGGAUUUUGCCCGUGCAAAGGUGCACUAGGCCAAGAUGGACGCCGAGAAGCUGGUGAAGGAGGGGCCGCCGCGGGGCAAGGAGCAUCGCCACCCCGAGAUGUAUUAUGAGGGUGUCCUGAAGGGUGCCCGUCUUGUGGCGGACGAGUGUGCGAAGGAUGUAAUGUUUGAAUGAACUUGCUCGUGUGAUCCUGUAUUAUGAAAACUUGUUCAUAUGCGCUAUGCAACGCUGGUUUGAAUUUAAAAUAUUACCUUUUGUGCGGCUAUUUAUAAAAUCUGAGAGAUGGCCAGUCAUUGGCUUCUGCCCCCAUGCCACGAGUGCUGGGGUGUUCGGGAUAAAUCUGAGGACUCUUUUUCCCAUUGUUGGGUCCUUCGAGGGAGGUGCUCAGCACAACGAACAAGGCAAUCGAACUAUAAUGCUUUAUCACUCUCACUUAGCCAUAGAAUUCUAUAAUUUUAAAUUUUAGCGAAGCCCCUAGUAUUCGAAAGGCCGAAUUCGGGCGCUAUACACGCCUUAAGCCGGACAAAGCCGACUCCUCGCUCUAAGCGGCAUAAGUCUUUAGGGACUCGAGACCUCUCGAACAGCGACCAACUCUCGCCUUAUCAUGACAGUCAGUUUUAGCUUUCUCUACUGAGGUGCUUAGCCGAGCUGAACCGGGGCACAAUCGCAGUAGUUCUCUCAGUGCUACCUUAGCCGAUAUAGCGGAACAUAAGGUACCAAAACAUGGGAGCCAGGCAAACCCAACUAUUAACCCAAGACAUGAUUCGGAGCUGAUGCAUAUAAUGCUAUAAGUUCAGGGUGCCGCACUGUCGAAAGUGUUCAGACUUCUCACGCCGUAUUAUGGGGUAUGCUUAAGCCCCUAGCGUAUUGGCCGUACCAGAGUGUACGGGUGCUGAAUGUCAUGAAUGAACACACACACACACACACACACACACACACACACACACAUAUAUAUAUAUAUAUAUAUAUAUAAGAAUGCGAUAAUAGUCUAGUGCUAUGCAUUGUUUAUUCAAAAAGGUGCGUCGAAGCAGAAUGAUACAAGUAGUGCGAUAAGCAAAAAGUAGGACUAUUUAACAUGUCCCCUCCAAGGGCAAGCUGAGGAAUGGUAUUUAAAGCAGGUAUUUCACUCGUUAUCAGAGACCACCUAGGAAUUCCUUGAUGCGACGUAGCUUUCUGCCUCCUUGGUUGUUGUAUCGUGUGUCCGGCAAUCGUACUGCCGGACGGGGCUUCCAGAGAUUAAAGUCCUGAAAGGAAAAAAAUAACAAAUCGGGAAGCCCCUAGUGCGGUUGAGCAUGUACAUAGAUGGCCUCGGAACACUGGAGACCGAAAGGUCGAACGUGAAUAAUAUAGUAGAUAUGAUCAACAUAGAGAUGUUCACCAUUGAAGACUGCUCCAUCUCACAUGAUGAUCGGACAUGGUUUAGUUGAUUUGGAUCACGUAAUCAUUUAGAUGACUCGAGGGAUGUCUAUCUAAGUGGGAGUUCUUAAGUAAUAUGAUUAAUUGAACUUAAUUUAUCAUGAACUUAGUCCUGAUAGUAUUUGCAUAUCUAUGUUGUAGAUCGAUAGCUCAUGUAUAGCUCCCCUGUUUUAUUUUUGAUAUGUUCCUAGAGAAAACUAAGUUGAAAGAUGAUAGUAGCAAUGAUGCAGACUGGGUCCGUGAUCUGAGGAUUAUCCUCAUUACUACACAGAAGAAUUAUGUCCUUGAUGCACCGCUAGGUGACAGACCUGUUGCAGGAGCUGAUGCAGACGUUAUGAACAUUUGACAAGCUCGGUAUGAUGACUACUUGAUAGUUUAGUGCGCCAUACUUUACAUCUUAGAAUCGGGACUUCAAAAACAUUUUGAACGCCACCAGAGCAUAUGAGAUGUUCCAAGAGCUGAAAUUGGUAUUUCAAACUCAUGCCCGUGUUAAGAGGUAUGAGACCUCUGACAAGUACUUUGCCUACAAGAUGGAGGAGAAUAGCUCAGCUAGUGAGCAUGUGCUCAGAAUGUCUGAGUACUACAAUCACUUGAAUCAAGUCGGAGUUAAUCUUCUAGAUAAGAUAGUGAUUGAUAGAGUUCUCUAGUCACUAUCACCAAGUUACUAGAACUUCAUGAUGAACUAUAAUAUGCAAGGGAUAACAAAAACAAUUCCUAAGCUCUUCGUGAUGCUGAAAUCGGUGAAGGUAGAAAUCAAGAAAAACAUCAAGUGUUGAUGAUUUACAAGACCACUAGUUUCAAGUAAAAGGGCAAGGGAAAGAAAAGGAACUUCAAGAGGAAUAGCAAGCAAGUUGCCACUCCCAUGAAGAAGCCCAAAGCUAGACCUAAGCAUGAAACUGAGUGCUUCUAUUGCAAAGGGAAUGGUCACUGGAAGCGGAACUGCCCCAAAUAUUUGGCGAAUAAGAAGGAUGGCAAAGUGAAAGGUAUAUUUGAUAUACAUGUUAUUGAUGUGUACCUUACUAAUGCUCGUAGUAGUGCAUGGGUAUUUGAUACUGGUUCUGUUGCUCAUAUUAGCUAAGGACGAGGUGACGAUGCGCGUUGGAAAUAGUUCCAAGGUCGAUGUGAUCGCCGUCGGCACACUACCUCUACAUCUACCUUUAGGGUUUUAGACCUAAAUAAUUGCUAUUUGGUGCCAGCGUUAAGCAUGAACAUUAUAUCUGGUUCUUGUUUGAUGCGAGAUGGUUAUUCAUUUAAAUCGGAGAAUAAUUGUUGUUCUAUUUAUAUGAGUAAAAUCUUUAUGGUCAUGCACCUUUUAUGAGUGGUAUAUUUUUGUUGAAUCUCGAUCGUAGUGAUACACAUAUCAUAAUAUUGAAGCCAAAAGAUGCAAAGUUAAUAAUGAUAGUGCAAUUUAUUUGUGGCACUGCCGUUUAGGUCAUAUUGGUGUAAAGCGCAUGAAGAAACUCCAUACCGACGGGCUUUUGGAAUCACUUGAUACUUGCAAACCAUGCCUCAUGGGCAAGAUGACUAAGACUCCGUUCUCCGGAACAAUGGAGCGAGCCACUGACUUAUUGGAAAUAAUACAUAUUGAUGUAUGCGGUCCGAUGAGUGUUGAGGCUCGCGGCGGGUAUCGUUAUUUUCUGACCCUCACAGAUGGUUUGAGCAGAUAUGGGUAUAUCUACUUAAUGAAACAUAAGUCUGAAACAUUUGAAAAGUUCAAAGAAUUUCAGAGUGAAGUGGAAAAUCAGCGUAACAAGAAAAUAAAGUUUCUACGAUCUGAUCGUAGAGGCGAAUAUUUGAGUUACGAGUUUGGCCUUCAUUUAAAACAAUGUGGAAUAGUUUCACAACUCACGCCACCUGGAACACCACAACAUAAUGGUGUGUCCGAACGUCGUAACCGUACUUUAUUAGAUAUGGUGCGAUCUAUGAUGUCUCUUACCGAUUUACCACUAUCGUUUUGGGGUUAUGCUUUAGAGACGGCUGCAUUCACGCUAAAUAUGGCACCAUCUAAAUCCUUUGAGACGACGCCAUAUGAACUAUGGUUUGGCAAGAAACCUAAGCUGUCGUUUCUUAAAGUUUGGGGCUGCGAUGCUUAUGUGAAAAAGCUUCAACCUGAUAAGCUCGAACCCAAAUCGAAGAAAUGCGUCUUCAUAGGAUACCCAAAGGAAACUAUUGGGUACACCUUCUAUCACAAAUCCGAAGGCAAGAUAUUCAUUGCUAAGAAUGGAUCCUUUCUAGAGAAGGAGUUUCUCUCGAAAGAAGUGAGUGCGAGGAAAGUAGAACUUGAUGAGGUAAUUGUACCUUCUCCCGAAUGGGAAAGUAGUUCAUCACAGAAAUCAGUUCCAGUGAUUCCUACACUAAUUAGUGAGGAAGCUAAUGAUGAUGAUCAUGAAACUUCAGAUCAAGUUACUACCGAACCUCGUAGGUCAACCAGAGUACGAUCCGCAAUAGAGUGGUAUGGUAAUCCUGUUCUGUAAGUCAUAUUACUAGACCAUGACGAACCUACGAACUAUGAGGAAGCGAUGAUGAGCCCAAAUUCCGAUAAAUGGCUUGAGGCCAUGAAAUCUGAGAUGGGAUCCAUGUAUGAGAACAAAGUGUGGACUUUGGUUGACUUGCCCGAUGAUCGGCAAGCCAUAGAGAAUAAAUGGAUCUUCAAGAAGAAGACUGCCGCUGACGGUAAUGUUACUGUCUACAAAGCUCGACUUGUUGCGAAAGGUUUUUGACAAGUUCAAGGGGUUGACUACGAUGAGACUUUCUCACCCGUAGCGAUGCUUAAGUCUGUCCGGAUCAUGUUAGCAAUUGCCGCAUUUUAUGAAAUCUGGCAAAUGGAUGUCAAAACUGCAUUCCUUAAUGGAUGUCUCAAAGAAGAGUUGUAUAUGAUGCAACCAGAAGCUUUUGUAGAUCCUAAAGGUGCUAACAAAGUGUGCAAACUCCAGCGAUCCAUCUAUGGACUGGUGCAAGCAUCUCGGAGUUGGAACUCUUCCGCUUUCUCACCCGUAACCAGAAACUUGAUACAUGUGUGGAUACAUAGACAGAACACUGUGUCCCUAGUAAGCCUCUACUAGACUAGCUCGUUAAUCAAAGAUGGUUAAGUUUCCUAACCAUAGACAUGUGUUGUCAUUUGAUGAACGGGAUCACAUCAUUAGGAGAAUGAUGUGAUGGACAAGACCCAUCCGUUAGCUUAGCAUAAUGAUCGUUAAGUUUUAUUGCUAUUACUUUCUUCAUGACUUAUACAUAUUCCUCAGACUAUGAGAUUAUGCAACUCCCGAAUACCGGAGGAACACCUUGUGUGCUAUCAAACAUCACAACGUAACUGGGUGAUUAUAAAGAUGCUCUACAGGUGUCUCCGAAGGUGUUUGUUGGGUUGGCAUAGAUCGAGAUUAGGAUUUGUCACUCCGGGUAUCGAAGAGGUAUCCCUGGGCCCUCUCGGUAAUGCACAUCACUAUAAGCCUUGCAAGCAAUGUGGCUAAUGAGUUAGUUGCGGGAUGAUGCAUUACGGAACGAGUAAAGAGACUUGCCAGUAACGAGAUUGAACUAGGUAUGAUGAUACCGACGACCGUAUCUCGGGCAAGUAACAUACCGAUGACAAAGGGAAUAACAUAUGUUGUUAUUGCGGGUUGACCGAUAAAGAUCUUCAUAGAAUAUGUAGGAACCAAUAUGAGCAUCCAGGUUCCGCUAUUGGUUAUUGACCGGAGAUGUGUCUCGGUCAUGUAUACAUAGUUCUCGAACCCGUAGGGUCCACACACUUAACGUUCGGUGACAAUUUGUAUUUAUGAGUUAUGUGUUUUGGUGAUCGAAGUUUGUUCAGAGUCCCGGAUGAGAUCACAGACAUGAUGAGGAGUCUCGAAAUGGUUGAGAGGUAAAGAUUGAUAUAUCGGAAGGUAGUAUUCGGACACCGAAAGGGUUUCGGAGUGUAUCGGGUACAUAGCGGAGUACUAGAGGGGUUACCGGAACCCCUCGGGGGAAGAUAUGGGCCAUAGGAGGGAGGCUAACCAGCCCACAAGGGGCUGGUGCGUCCUCCACAAGGGUGGAGGCCGAAUUGGUUUAGGGAAGGGGCCCCACCCCCUUUCCUUCUCCUACUCCCUCUCCUUCCCCCUUUCCACCUCCAUGAGAAGGAAAAGAAGGGGGCUAAAUCCUACUAGGACUAGGAGUCCUAGUAGGACUCCCCCCUUGGCGCGCCCCCUCUAGACCGGCCGCCUCCUCCUCCCCUCCUUUAUAUACGGGGGUGGGGGCACCCCAAAGGCACAUCAAUUGUUCUCCUAGCCGUGUGUGGUGUCCCCCUCCACAGUUUACUCCUCCGGUCACAACGUCGUAGUGCUUAGGUGAAGCCCUACGCGGAUCACAUCACCAUCACCAUUACAACGCCGUCGUGCUGACAGAACUCUCCCUCGACCCUCUGCUGGAUCAAGAGAUCGAGGGACGUCAUCGAGCUGAACGUGUGCUGAACUCGGAGGUGCCGUAUGUUCGGUACUAGAUCGGUUGGAUCGUGAAGACAUUCGACUACAUCAAUCGCGUUAACCUAACGCUUCCGCUUUCGGUCUACGAGGGUACGUGGACACACUCUCCCCCCUCGUUGCCAUGCAUCUCCUAGAUAGAUCUUGCAUGAUCGCAAGAUUUUUUUUUGAAAUUGCAUGCUACGUUCCCAACAGGUUAGUGAUCAGUUCGCAUUAGAUUAGGGAUGAAUUAGUGGUUAGCUAGGAACUUAGGAUUAGAUUAGCCACUGAUCGGUGUGCCCACAUGGUUAGAUUUGGCUUACUACUAAUUAGUUUAGGAUUAGGCCACUCACUUGUGGGCAAUGCCUAACAUAACGUCCAUCUUAACGGUUAAUCUAACUGAUUUAACCUUGUCAUACCGCAUGGAUACCCGAUGGGUGGGCCACCCCAAUCAUAAUUGUGAUCAAUAAUCAUUGAACCGGUCACUAAUCGAAAGUGGUAGCUCUUUGCGAAAAUCGUCGCAAAAGUAAUAGCCUUUUGCUAGAUCUCGCAAAAGUGGUAGUUUUCAACAACAUUCGUCACAAAAAUGGUAGUAUUUCGCUCUUUAUCCCACUAGAAAACGAGGCUGGCCUUCUUUCCACAAUAAGGGGAGUUGAGGAAUGGGGAUCAAAGCUUCCGUAGAACGGUGAGCUGUCUGGAAAUGGGAGCAACCAAAUACACAUGUUAGAGCAACUCUAACCGACCUCCUAUAAUUUAAAGGAAUAAACGAUCGAGAAUCCUUUAGAGGAGUACUUUGACUCCUCUAAUAAAUGGUUGUUUCUAUUUGAUCCCCUAAAUUUAAGGAGUAAAAAAAUUAAACAAAAAUUUGUAAAAAAACUAAUAAAAACCACACGUUUCAAUAGAAACACCACUUCCUUAACUGCUCCUAUUAAUAUCUGAUCAAUACUUUCUCCGUCUCUUAAGUGACUACAUUGUUUCUUUCCUCUUUCGGCUUCUCGAGAUUGCACACUUUUUUCUUCUCCUCCUCUUCAAACUUGGACAUAACAUCCUCUCUAGCCUCAUCUCUAGCAACUACCGCACCAACAUCUAACAAUUUUCUCGCUAUAAAUAUAUCAAUGUACUCUUCUUCCCAACAUCAAAAUUUGCACCCGUCCUACAUAUAAUUUUAGGCAAACAAUGAGUUUCACAUUGGGACAAAUUUGAAGAACAACCAUACGAAAUGGAACUCACUCUGUGCUUUUUGCACUUGACGAAAACCCAUCCGGGAUGUUUCGCGUGCUCGAAACGGGGCGCACCACCAGCCGUCAGCAGUGGUGACACUUGAUCAUCGGCAAAGGCUCGCCGAUGAGUUGUUGCGCAAUGGCUGAGCCCGGCCGACGGUCAACCGAGAUGUGAGAUGCGAGCGGCGAGCGGAUGAGGGCGUAUCAAAAUGUGGGUAGCGAUCGAGGUGGAUGCCGUAACAUGUGCAUCGAGUCCCUCCAAAGUGUCAGCGUCGGUGACUAGGUGCGUCAAAUCGGGUGACGACGGCGACGACUGUAGUCUCAGUGAUUUAUAGUCGCCGAUGACAAAAAUUCGACCAAAUCGAGGUGGGGGACGAGCGCGGUGGGUGCUUCAGGGAGUCGCCGGUAGCGCAUGGUGGCCGGCGGAGGCAAAUAGGGCUACGCCAGAGUGGACGCGAUGUGGGGUUAGGUGGGUGCAACCAAGGGUGGAGGGGAAGACUUUUAAAUCGGUCGGUUGGCGAGCGAGUCGAGGCGGCCGAGAAGUAUAAUUUUUACUCCUUUAAAACUUUUAAGGAAUCUUCCAUGUGCCAAUUAGGGAAGGAAAAAAAAGAAAUUUUACUCCUCUUAAGCAUUUUAUUAGGGGAUCGAUUAUGGUUGCUCUUACGGUAAGUUUUGUUUGCGUCCACAUCAUUUUUUGCUUCACCUGGAGUUGUCCUUAGGUAUUAUAAAUGUUUGUUUGGUUGCUGUUCUAUGAAAAAGAAAACUCACCUGGCAUAGAUUUCUUUGUACCGUAAUUAGCCUGGCUAGACUCAUUUGCACGGUAAUUAGCCUGGCUGAGGCGAUCAAAUUCGGACGCCUGGCCAUGCGGCCACAAGGCUAAGGCUACAUGGAGUGUAUCGAUGGGACGUUGACUUUUUGCCUGAGAGGCAAACCUGUUCUAUAUUUUUGCAGCUAUCAAAUACAAGAACGAAACCGACCCAUUUCUCUGGAAUGGAAGUGUUCAUGGUAUGGUUCAUUAACCAAGCACACCCUUCAUCACCACACAAGCCUGGUCUGUCUGGCAGGCUGGCAGGAAGAUUUUACAUCUCGCGUCCUUCAUCGUCGGACAAUAUAUCGACCCCACCCGUCAGAUACAGCCCGCUCUCUGCCCAAACGCCUAUAUUAGCCCGCCGCGCGCCCCCAUCCCCAAGCGCCAAAGCGAAAGCCACUUCCUCCUCGCCGCAGAGCUCCCAAAUCCCGCACCCGAGGAGGCGACUCUCCCGCGCGCGAGAGAGCGGGUCACGAGUCCUGCAGCGGCGGCGGCUGCGGUCACCGGCCGCAGAGCCAGCGGGCGACAUGACGGACGGCCACCUAUUCAACAACAUCUCCCUCGGCGGCCGCGUCGGCAACGUGAGUGCGCCUCCCCUGCCCCGGUCGAGUUCGCUCGCCGUGAUUCGAUUCGUUGUUUCGUUAGGGUUUUCCGCUCGACUGUUCGAUUCCGCGCUGGCGAGUUUGGCCGACGGGCUCGUCUAGCGGAAUUUGUUUAGCGGAUUUUUCAGAACGGCGCUUGUUUUUUCUAGGGUUUACACGCCAGGGUUUGUUUCCUCUCUGCGGUACGGAACUGCUCCAGAGGGUAAAUUUGUGAUCCGCCGUUGGUUGGAUUUGGACACCAAUGUUGGUCAGGCAAAAUGAAUAGUCCAUAUCCAAUUAGCUUGGGAUGGAACAGAUUGGAAACUCAACUACAACCAGGCACUAAUCUGGGGAUUCGAGGAACAUGUUCAUGCAAUAUAUAUAUAUAUAUAUAUAUAUAUAUAUAUAUAUAUAUAUAUAUAUAUAUAUAUAUAAAUGUCUUGUGCAAUUGCUACCAUCACCCAGGCGCCGUCCAUUUUGGUAUUCAUGUGUGCCAAUUUGUGCUAUGGCUGCACUGUAUUGGAAGAUCACAGCCAAUGGCCUUCAUAAUCACUUCUUAUUUACAGUUCGCACAUGUUCUUUAAGGAGUAUUCUCCUUAUCACUGUUUAGCAUGCCUAGAUGUGAUUGAAACACUUGUUGGUUCAUUUUAACGAAUAAGAAUUGUACGUUUGUGUUCAUUCGUGGUUCAUAUCUUUUUGAAACUUAGUGCUGACCCUAUUCCAAUUACUAUUUUGGUAAAAAGUACAUAGAUCAAUUCCAACAGAACCCCUAUUUUUUAUGGUUGUUGUUGAAUUGGUCACUGUUAGUGGCAUUACUGCGAUACUGAAAUUCUCGUCGUGCUGUUAUGGACUGAUGGUUUGUGCACUUGUAGAACCCUGGUCAGUUUAGGCUUUAUUCGGGAGGGCUUGCAUGGAAGAAGCAAGGUGGAGGAAAGACAAUUGAGGUUGAUAAAGCUGAUAUAAUUUCUGUGACGUGGAUGAAAAUCCCCAGAUCUUAUCAGCUUAGUGUUGGGACCAAAGAGGGCAUUCGGUACGUGUUCAAAGGCUUCCGUGAACAGGUAAUAGUCUACCAUUUCCCCCCAAGAAAUUAAUUGAUUGUAUACUUGACAUGAAGAGAUGCUAGAAAAUAAGAGAAGUUGUACAAUCACAGUUGCAUCUGCUUUCUGUGUCAAGUUUCAAUCUUUCUUGGAUAACUGAAACUCUAGUUGUAACCUGAGAAAUAUUUUGUUUAUAUUGUUUUGUAGGAUGUUAGUAACCUUACUAACUUCAUACAAAAGAACACGGGAACCACACCAGAGGAGAAGCAGCUCUCUGUUAGUGGCCAUAAUUGGGGCGCGGUUGACAUCAAUGGUUAGCUGAGUUCUCUAUAGUCUGUCUGGUAGUGGGUAUUCCAUUUCCUUUUUGGAAAAUUUGUUUCAUUUUCCCAUUCUCCCCAUUUUCAGGCAAUAUGCUUAGCUUUAAUGUUGGCUCAAAGGAAGCAUUUGAAGUCUCUCUAUCAGAUGUAUCACAAACUCAGUUGCAAGGAAAAACAGAUGUUGUUCUUGAGUUCCAUGUUGAUGAUACUACAGGGGCUAAUGAGGUAUGUUGUCUGCCUGUAUAUAUUGAUCAAAGUUACUCUGUAGUUUUGUAAAGUGUUACCUGUUUGGUUGGCUUUUGCUUACUGUUGCUGGGUGUAAAAAAGGUAAAUUUUUGUGUCUGAAUCCCAACAUUGGUGUGUAUAUUUAAACUGACAUCAGUUUUUUUACUCUCUUUAUAGUGACUCUUAUUAGUUUCCUUGCCUGUGCCUAUGUUUUUAAGGCGUCUUGCCUUGGACGCUUAGGCGAUAAGGCGCCCUGGCAGUGCCUUACAAAUAUGCCCGCCUUAGGCGCCUAGGCGUCCGCCUUAGGCGCUAGAGCGGGUGGUGCUCACCUUAGGUCGCCUUACCGCCUUAAAAACAUAGCCCUGUGCACGUAAAAGUUUAUGCGGCUAUAGCUGUUCUUUCAAUCUUGUUUUAGGCAUUUAAGGUCUAACUAGCUCCGGUGGUUAGACCAUAUACAUAGGAGAUACACUUUCCAAAUCUUCUAUUGCACAGAAUGUAAAUGCACCAUUGAGCACCAUCUAGAGGAUUCUGAUCGUUACCACAAAAAUCUUACAAAGAUCAUUAGUAAAACAAGUGAUUAUAACUCCCCUUUUCAUCAUUUUCUGCAGAAAGAUUCGCUGAUGGAUUUAAGUUUUCAUGUACCAACUUCAAAUACUCAAUUCCUUGGUGAUGAGGAACGUCCCUCGGCUCAUGUGAGUUCAUUUGAUAAGCACGAUAUGACACAACAUGCAUGCAUAUUUUGCGCAAAUAGUGAAAUGUUCUCUCUUCAGAUUUUUUGGCAGAAAAUCUUGGCUAUAGCUGACGUUGGCUCAUCAGAAGAGGCUGUUGUCUCAUUGGAGGGAAUUGCCAUUCUUACCCCAAGGUGAGAAAAUCUUGUAACUGUAGACUCUUUGCCUUUCCUAAAAUAAGCCUAUCCGUUUAUUUGUUUCAUUUCAUGCCAUAGCUAACUGCUUAUUUUUAAUUCAGAGGUCGAUACACUGUUGAGCUUCAUAUGUCAUUCUUGCGACUCCAAGGACAAGCUAAUGAUUUCAAAAUCCAGUAUAGCAGUAUUCUUCGGCUCUUUGUUUUGCCAAAGGUUCUACUACUUUCAUGCUUUGUGAACUAUCAAGAAUUCUUCGCCUUUGUAUACUGUCAAGAAGCUAAUAUGAUUUCAUGCUUAUACUUUGUGCCCUUCAGUCAAACAACCCUCAUACAUUUGUGGUCAUCACACUUGAUCCGCCAAUUCGCAAAGGACAAACAUUAUAUCCCCACAUUGUUAUUCAGGUAUAGUAUUAUGAUACAUUUCACACGAACUUGGCUACAGUUCUUGUAUGAUACUUAAUAACUGGUUCCUUUAUGAACAGUUUGUGACAGAGAAUGUAGUUGAGAAGGAGCUGUCAUUAAGUGAGGAGGUUUUGGCUGAAAAGUACAAGGACAGGCUGCAGAGUUCUUACAAUGUGAUAUUCUUAUUCACUUAAUGGCUGACUUUCCUUGCAUCUCUUUUAAGUUUAACACGACCUAUUUCACCUCAAAGUUGAUCACAGCUCUUGUUUUUUUUUGUAAACUUUGAUCAUAGCUUGUGUUGAUUUUGUUUUCCUUUGUCAGCGUUACAUGCUUUAAUUAUCAAGUGCUCUGAACUAUUAUUGAUUAAUACGUACAAGAAAUGAUGCCAGAAUUAAUAAUACAUACCAAUAGAACAAUACAAGAGUUAAUGACAUACUACUCAUAAAGCAUACUGUAUAUAUUAGUGAUUAUGUACUGUUGAAACACCAGCAGUAACCCUCCAAUGCACUUAUUACCUAACUCUUGGGGUUUAUCAGAAAAUGAUCUGUGUUUAUAUUUGUACAAUUUCAUUCAGUACUUAAAUCAUAGAGCUACUGACAUGCAUAUUUUCUGCUUGCAAGUAUGUUUAGUUGAAGAAUGCUUUACUGAACUGAAUUAAAUAUUACCGAUCAUUUGUGUCCUGAUCAGAUGAUUGCCCCCCCUAUAUUCCGUUUUCUACUUGUGCACUUGCUCUUCAUUUACAGUUUUCUGGGAUCUUGAUUUAUUAACUCACAAAAUGUUUGAUUUAUACAUAGGGUCUAGAACAUGAGGUAUUCUCCAAAAUUCUUCGUGGCCUGUCUGGUGCUAAAGUGACGAGGCCAAGCACAUUCCGCAGUUGUCAAGAUGGAUAUGCCGUGAAAUCAUCACUUAAAGCUGAAGAUGGAUUGCUGUAUCCUCUUGAAAAAGGCUUUUUCUUUUUGCCAAAGCCCCCGACACUCAUUCUGCAUGAGGAGGUCUGCUUUCUACAUUUCUGACAUGCCUAAUUGUUCUUCAUCCAUUUGUCCUCUGCUAAGCUGUUAUUUACUGCAGAUCGAGUAUGUUGAAUUUGAGCGCCAUGGUGCUGGUGGUGCUAGUAUGUCAUCUCACUAUUUUGAUCUCCUGGUCAAGCUAAAGAAUGACCAAGAACAUCUCUUCAGAAAUAUACAAAGGAAUGAAUACCAUAACCUCUUCAACUUCGUCAGGUAAAUGCUGAUGUCUUGUUGAUUUAAUCACUGGCAUACUAUUUAAUUCGUUUGGGGAUGAUAAGUUCUUGUUUCUUUCCUUCAAGUGGUAAGAAUUUGAAAAUCCUGAAUCUUGGAGAAGAUGGCCAAGAUAGAACUGGUGCAGUUGCGGCUGCUCUUCAGAGCACUGAUGAUGACCCUGUUGAUCCACAUCUGGAGCGAAUUAAAAAUCAGGCCGGUGAUGAAGAAAGUGAUGAAGAGGUAUUGCGUGUGUGCAAUCUUUGCUCUUGCUUGCCUAUAUGGUGACGGAGUAGAAUGCGUAAUUUGUUUACUUGUAAAUCGUACUGUAACUUAUUCCAACUUCAGGACGAAGAUUUUGUGGCGGACAAGGACGACAGCGGAUCCCCUAGUGAUGAUUCUGAAGAGGGUUCUGAUGCCAGCAUAAGCGAUGGAGAAAAGGAGGUAACUAAAUUACUCUUGACAGUAUCCGUAAGAAAACUUACCUGAACCAAAACACAUGUGGGGCAAGCCACUGCUUUGAUAACUUCUUGUUUCAGAAAUCUUCCAAAAAGGAAGCUAGUAGCUCAAAGCCACCUGCGAAGAGGAAACCAAAGAAUGUGGACGUGGAAGGUUCAGAGAAGAGAAAGCCGAAGAAGAAGCAGAAGAAAGAUCCCAAUGCCCCUAAAAGAGCAAUAGCACCAUUCAUGUAUUUCUCAAAGGCUGAGCGAGCUGUAAGUUACUUGCACCCAUCCAUAUUAAAAUUUUCUGCUUUCAUGGUUGACAAAAUUGUAAUCUGAACACGUACCAGCUCCAUCCCAAACUGCAUCAAACCAAUACCAAUAGAUGCAUCAUGAAACAUGUUUUUCAUAUGUACUCCCUCCGUAAACUAAUAUAAGAGCGUUUAGAUCACUACUUUAGUGAUCUAAACGCUCUUAUAUUAGUUUACAGAGGGAGUAUUUAUUUGGUAUUACAGAUAGCUAUUAUUUCUAUGAACUUGGUCAAACUUAAAUAAGAGUAUCCUGCAUUGUUUUUGACGAAUUUUAGUUCAUUCUGUGUUGCAGUCUAUGGUUUCUAUGUUAGGUUGUAGAAUUAUUUGCUAUUCUUUCUCAAGACAUUUGGCGUGUGCUGUCAAAUUAAGCAAACAGUGGAUCUUUGAUUGACAUUUUUCUAAUGCAGAAUUUGAAGAACAUCAACCCUGAACUCAGCACCACGGAUAUUGCAAAGAAGCUUGGAGAGAAGUGGCAAAAGAUGUCAGGUAACAUGUCCUAAGUUACAAUGGCAGUAUGGUGCAGUUCACACUGUCAGUUUUUUUUAAGGAAAAAAUAACUCGUGUUAAUCAUUUCCAAUUGUCAUAUUUGCAGCUGAGGAGAAGCAGCCAUACGUUGAGCAGUCCCAAGUGGAUAAGAAACGCUAUGCAGAGGAGUCUGCUGCCUACCGCGGCGCUGGUGCGGCUCCUGUAGACGUGGACUCUGCAGAUGGAUCGUCCGAUUGAAUUGGAAGAUUGGCCGUUGUUGAAAGGAGCAUACUUUCGAGUCAUGGUACAAGUAGGCAUCCGAUUUAUCUUGGCUGUAGUGACUGUUGAGGUGUGAUCCUUACCGUUUCUGAGUGAACGAAGAACAGUUAGGAUAUGUAGGUUCCAAGGUAAUGUUUGCUUUGCUACGAGCUGUCAGCACAUGUGCCAGGUGUUUUAUUCGCACGCUGCUUGUGCAACUUUUUUUCUGCAAAAUACUCAAAUCUUCAUCGGAAUUACAAAGCAUACAAAACAUAAUAAAAAUUACAUUGAAGUGCUUGAACCAUUAAAUGACUAA